Molecule: long non-coding RNA, 65556 nt
Filed under: Coffea arabica (coffee)
Lineage: Eukaryota; Viridiplantae; Streptophyta; Magnoliopsida; Gentianales; Rubiaceae
Description: long non-coding RNA (CARA_LNC006686)
Source: RNAcentral
UUUUUUUUUUUUUUUUUUUGGUAAGAGGGCUGCCAAUGAAUUCUAGCAGCAAUUAGACACUUUUGCACGCAUGGAACCCAUUCUGGUCUAACUUUCUUCUUCAGCGAAUUGUAAAGUUUAACAUGAAAGAUGAAGAAAGAAAAGUCGGUGACCCAUCCAUCAUAUAAUUAAUACUCGAGUUAAGUUAAAGCAUAAGCAUCAUUCAUUUUCCACGGCAACUUUUAGAGAGAACACGUAAUUAAUUAACGUACGAGUUCAGAUGUUGCUUUGAUUUCACAGCAAUUUUUCCAGUAGUAAUGAUUUACAAUGCAUUUCUUCCAGUGAUUCGCGAGCAGUGAUACUACAAAAAUAAAUAUUUUCUCGAAAUUGUUUCAGCACCUUUAAUUAUGAAUUCUUAGAGAGUAAGAAACCACAGUAUCUGUAUGUCACAUUAUACCCAUGCCAAUAUUCUCUCCUUUUUUCGUUUGACGUGAAAGGCAGGCUACCAAGGCAGCAAUAAUAAAUAUUCCAUCCCACCGGAAGGUAAUAAUGCAGGACCAAACUUGUUCCUCAAAGCGCCACGAUCCCUAGCAGCCUGCACAAAACUCUUUUUGAUUUGAUGUUUUAGAUUCCCCCUUCGGUCCCAAUCAAAUCAAAUGAACCUCUUUUUGUUACGCUUCCUCUUUACAAAUUACGACGGCCCAAAAAUCAAACUUACUUUAACGUGGAAAGCAGGUGCGGGCAUGACUUUGGAUAAAUGGUUGCCAGAAAAGGCCAAAAAACGAGAACCAACCCGUUCAAUACGGCAGUCCGAAGCCGAUUAUGCCUGGAGAACCAUUACUGUUAAACAACGCUAUGCUAUGGUAUGCUAGUGGCAAGUUUUAAGGGAAAACUGCUUAACAAACCAUCAUAGCUGCUGCGCGCGUGGGAAAUUUAACGUCUUUAAUUCUUGGCAGGCGGCUAUAAUAUAAGGAGGGUAAUCACGAGAUGGCAAACGUAGUGGUACCAGACAAUCCGACUUCAAGAGGAUAAACAAAAAUGGCAGGGACGAGAGGAAGAAACCUCGAGCUAUGGAGUAAGCAUAAAGAGUCUUUUGAUUCAGCAGACCCAUGAAUUUUUCCUCGCUAUCGGUUCAUGGAACUGCGCUAUGACAUUGACGCUUCCCGUUUUGGUAAAUUUACUUGAACGCUACAGCUGAUUGUACUAAUCCAAGAUUUAUGAAGCUCAUCCACUAGCUUUGAGGCACAGGAUGUCAGUAACCAGUCGAAAAGAAUACAAAUGACCAUGGAACUCAAGAAUUCCAAAUGUUGGGAGAUCCAAAUAUUUAUCUUCUUCUUUCAUCCCGGUAAGGUCCUUCACUUUCUUGAUCCUUCAAGAAGCCUAAGAAUGCAAGAAAGCCGAAAAAGAAGAAUCCUCCAGACCAAUUGCCUCCACCUCCACCGCCACCACCUCCACCAUCACCAUCAUCACCGGGAGGAAAUCCAGUCCCACCAUCAUCUAGUUCUGGAGAUUUUUCCUUCCCUGGCAUUCAGUACAACAUCCACUAUCUCAGAAAUCCUUGAUAGCAAUCAAAUUAUCAGAGGCAAACUAUAUUUGCCAUGCUUAUGAAAUCAAAUAAAAAAAAAAAUUAUUGCUCUAUAGGUUCUAUAUUUGCAUGUUUAGUUUCUCAGAAAUUUCACGCCAAGGAGAAAUUCUGGCUCUUGGUAGCCCAAUAUAUAAAGGCAUGUCAAUACAAGCAGCUGAUUAUGUUACAAACACCGAUAUCAUGGACAGCCAUAAAAAGGUUACCUUGAACAGGAGCGACAGUAAUUGUCGAUGAUUGCCGUGUAACUGUUUGGGUCUGCCCCUCCGCGCAUGUUGCAUUCUUAGAAAAAGAAAUAAAAACCAAAUUAUCAACUCAUAUAUUGCUAAUCAUUUUGCUUACUGAAGAAAUACAAACUGAAGGUAGACCCAGAAAAUAUACUGACACAUCCUCAGACUUAUGCAUGAUAACUUUUACUGAUUAUUGUCGCCUAUCAACACCACUAAUCUACCAACAGCCAACUCUCGGAAGUCAUGCACUAGCCUGUAAGCCUAAUUAACCCUCUACCUGAACGCAAUGCCAGAGUUCCCUGGUCUAAAUAGUGUGAGCUUUUUUUUUUUUUUUAGUUGGGAGAGCGGGGAGUGGAGAGAGAGACGAGCUAACAUUGAACCUUUUUCUUUUCCUUUUAUUUAUUUUUUGGCUCAUUGUACAGAAGGAUUCACGAUGAGUAAAUCAUCAGUUAGAUGAGACUCAGACACAUUCUCAUUUCAAAAACAUCACAGAGAAAGCAAAGAUUCUUUAAAAAAAAAAAAAAAAAAAAAAAAAGAGGAGGAAGUAAAGACUGUUGAUGUUGAAUAUAUGACUGUUAAACAACACCGGCAUAGAUUAUCUCCAGAUAACUUAUAGGCAAAGUAAGAUUACCAGGGCAGCAGAACAUAUUAUGGAAGUUUGCUUUGUUCGAAUAGCAUGAUUGAUGGGUGUUCUCUUGUCAAGAGGCCGAAACCGUAAAGACAUUGGUUUCAGUCCAACAGGACCACAUCUAAUAUGCUUGAUUUGCACCGGCCAUCUAUCCUCUGCUUUUACUGCACCAAAAAGGCCUCUAAUAUGAGAAAAGAUGAAAUGAAGAACAAAAACAUAUAUGGACCAAAUGCAGAUUUAAUAAAUCUAUAAAACACAUGAAUAAGAACUCACAAAGACUCGGCACAAGGACAGUGUUAAUCACCAUAGAAGGGUAUCAUAAAAAUGUCACCAGAAACACACUAGGGAGAUUCCCUGAGAUCUCAUGUCAUAUGCUCAUAAGUCUCCUGUGCAAUUACCACAAUAUACAAGUGUGCAGAACUAUGACCUAGCUCAUUUACAAGAUUAAACAACAAUCUACUGCAGUAUCAGAGCCUACAACCAAACACUGUCAAGGACACGAAUCACAUCCUCAUCUACGUCUGCUCGCACACAUAGUAAUACAAUCAACUACAUUAAGCUAACCCAUCAAAAUUACAGAAGUGCAUGUAUUUGGCCUAGAAAUUCACACAGUAUGCUUGGGGCACAAUUUUAACUUGAAGUUCAGUAAACAAUCUAUGCUGUAAAGCUACACAUGAAUGCAUUAAUUUGGACAUAUGACGGAUGAAACAAAGAAGCAAGUUUGUCAAAUAAUAGUAAUUGACCAACUUCUCGUGCAGGUUCUAUAUGCCUGACUACAAAAUGUUUGCAGUUUCCACCACUUCUCAGAGUUCUAAACUUAGAGGAAUCCACCAAGGCUCAACUAACUGUGCAUAGUAAGAGAGCCCUUUUGUGCUCAUAAUGUUGUUUUUAAAUUAACAAAUGACCAUUCUUCCAUGUUUGAGGGUUUCAACCCUAAAACUUGAUAGUCAAGAUUCAACCCUACUGAUUUACAACAUUUUUUUGAAUAAGCAUAGAUCCAAAAUCCUUUAUGCUUCUGUAUGAUCCUUAUCCUUGUGAAAGAUAUUGUUUCCACUAAGAUGUGCUCCCAGGAAGCAAAAUUAAGACAACAGAAAGGUCCAAAGGCACCAGAUGUUUGCAGGCAGAGUACAAGUGAUAUACACAAAGUUUCACGGUCUAUGGAUUUAUGUAUUUAUGCUAUUUUUGACUUUCCAUCUAACAUUCAUACCACUACAAAGUACCCAGUACAAAAUUCGUGUCCUUAUGCUUAGAAACUCAGAAGAAUCCCAGUUUCCUUCUCUCAAUUAUUAUGGCAUCAACAUACAGCAUUCAAAUCUCAAAUGUUGAUUGCUGGCUAAUAAAGUUGCUGAUUUCCUCUCUUAAGGUUAUGCAGUGACUGAAUAAGUAGCCAAAGAUGUAAGACAAAACGUAAAUUAAAUAACUACGGAAAAGAGUAUCAACGUCAUUUUAAGAAAGAGUGUCCCUCAUAAAAAAUGUUUAACUAAACAAGGAUAUCCCCAUGUACACACACGUCUUCACUCAAAAUCCAAGAGCUGCACUCUAUGAACCUAAGCACAUAGCCCUAUGAAUUCCAGACUGUAUAAGUGCAACACAACAAAAGCACUGAUAAAUCACAGGCAGCUCAGAAACAAAAGAAUUGUCAACCAUCUGUUUCACAUGAUAAAGACAAGAUAUCAAUGUCAUUAAAUAGAACUUAUACACACCUGUGGCUAAAGUAGAUGUGCCGGCACUUGUGCAUGCCAUCAAAGACAUUCUGUCAAUAGAUGAUAUGACCUGAAAGUAUAGCCACAAGCAACUAUGCUAUCAACAAUAGAAAAAUUUUUCGAAAAAAGUAAAUAGAUGCCCAGUUUAAUACAUAUUCAUCCUAUUUUCCAGGCAUUCCUAUGACAACUCCAUCCUGGAUGAACGAAACUUAAUUUUAAUCUCCCAAAGUUCAAUCAAGAAGAACAUCUAAGAGGCCACCCAUAUAGGUACUUAGUUUGUGUAACUAAAUUUCAAUAGAUUGUCAACAUGAUACACUUCCUAUCUUGCAAAAAUAUCACAUUUUUCACAAUAAAUGAAACUCAAUCCAGGGAAAGGUCUUGGUUUAACCUAGCAGAAUGAAAACAUCAAUUAUUAAACUUGUUCGUGAAAUUAAAAAAAAAAAUCUUGAAUAGAAAAAUAAUAAGAAAAAGAGCACAAUUUUUUCCACAUCCCAAAUUAAAAGGGCGUGAUUUUCGUGUUGAAUGAUUAGCUGCUACAAAGUAGCAAAAAAGAAAUCUAAUCCAGCAGAAGGAAAAAGUAAAAAAGAACCAUUAAUCAUUCAGCUUUCCCAGCUCGAAUUCUAACAUAUCCAAUCUUAUCCGAGCUAUAAUCGAGCUAUUAAGGUUAUCAACAAAGUCGACCCUCUGAAUCGAAAAAAAAAAAAACGGAAUACUAAACGAAACCAAUCCCAGUCCUCCAAUAUUCCCACUAGUUUAAAUCUAUAGGACCAACAAUCAAUAUAUAACAGAGAGAGGAAAGGGAGGGAAUUUAAGAGAGACCUUACCCUGUUGUUGUUGUUGUUGUUGUAGAAGGCAGCAGCUGAGACUAAACGUGAGAGCGGAUUGAACGAGACUUUUGGGGCAAUCAAUCGAACAGAUCAAAGAAAAGAAAAGAGGGGAAAGGGUUUGCGAAGCUGCAGAUGAACUAUCCACUUAUCUUCUAAGAUUAUUGCUUUGAACCGCCAUAUUUUUCCAUUCUAUGGGCACGUUACGAUUGGAUGGCGCUUCCAAAUAAAAAAGAGACUAUUGCUUCUUCUUUUUUCUUAAGCCCAAAAAACAAUUAAUUGGACGGAAGGUUCUGGCCCCUCGAGUACAAACAUUUCAAGUUUUGUUCCGCCUAUGAAUUUAAGAAAUUAGUAGUGUUACAAUAAGGAGAUUUUCACUAAUCGAAAACGGAAUGACCUUUCCUUUCUCCUUUUCUUUUCCUUUUUUUUCCCUGUUUGAGAAAACUUUGUUGGAUUGUACUUGCUAAUAAAAAGAAACAAAAGUUUAAUUGAAGAAUCAAUUAAAAAAAAGGGAAAAUUGUUCAAAACGUCUCUCAUAUUUUACAAGAUGACUUUUUUUGUCCCUCACUUUUAAAAGUAUAAUUUUACGUCCCUUACAAAUUUACAUUGACCAAAUUUGAUUCCUACCUAGGUUUCCGACUAGUUUUUGGCCGGAAUCUACCAUGUGACUUGCCUGUGAUCAUUUUUUAUGGGCAAAAUUAUCAAAUCAAAUUUUUACAUAAUUUGAUUCAUAGUCCCUCACAUUUUACAAAAUAAAUUUUUUCGUCCCUAAUAUUUUAUAAAAUAAAUUGUUUUGUUUCUGACAUUUCAAAAAACCCACGUAUAUGUAUAUUUGAUUCUACUUGAACAGUAUGAACAACAUGUAAUUUAUCUCUAUUGGAUUUCAGCUAAACACGUUAAUCGUAGUUAUACACAUGCUAUUCAAUAGAUAUAUAUAGGGGUUUAAAACUAAUAAUUUUGCUUGAAACCCAUGUAUAUAUUUAUAUGAUUUCACCAUUUGAACCUAUUCAAUAUUUGUAACUUUUCUCUUUUGGUAAUAAUUUAUUUAUUUAGUUGCAUAAUAAGAUCAUCUAAUUAAUGGGUUCUAACUCAAAUUCUAUAAUUGUGCUAACAAAUUUCAGUUUAAAUUUGAAAUUUCUACUCGACACUUUUAAGACCAACAUUUAAAUAAUUUGCCUUAUGAUUAUUUUAAAUUUUGAAAGUGCAAAUCAUUUAUUUCUUUUUGUCAUACUUUUCUUUUGUUUACUUUUUCAAUCCAAAUUUAAUUUGAUAUAAACACUCGAUAAUAUUUAUGAUUAAAUGUCUUCUUUAUUUUCAAAUUUCGAGUAAAAGAAAAUGAAUAUAACUGAAAGACUAACAAUUUUUUUAAACCUAUGUAUAUAUCUAUUUGAUUUCAUUUGAGUAGUAUGAAUAGUAUGUAAUAUAUCUCUAUUUGAUUUCACAUGUUAUUCGUACUGUUCAGAUGAAAUCAAAUAGAUAUAUACAUGGAUUUAAAAAAAAAAUUAUUCACACACAUGAUUAAUAAAAGAUGAAAAAAUUCAUUUUGUGGAAUGUAAGGGACAAAAAAUUUUAUUUUAUGAAAUGUGAGAGAUUAUGAAUCGAAUUAUAUAAAAUUUGAUUUGAUAAUUUUACCCUUAAAAUAUGAUCACGUGCAAGGCACAUGGUGAAUUCCGACAAAAAACUAGUCGGAAACCUAGGUAGAGACCAAAAUUGACCAAUGUGAAUUUGUAAAUGACGUAAAAUUACAUUUUUAAAAGUGAAUGACGAAAAAAGUUAUUUUACAAAAUGUGAGGGACGUUUUGAACUAUUUUUCCUAAAAAAAAUGCUGAAAGUGAAAAAUCAAAAAGAUGUUUGUUCUUUCACAUUUUCUUUUUGGAAUGGAGUUUAACAUUGUGGAAGUGAUGUUAUAUAUAUAUAUAUAUAUAUACUAGUGGUAAAAGGCAUACUCAAUGUGUGUGCAAGUUAGAAAUAAAUUGUUUCUUAUAUGAACUUAUUUUACAUAGAUUUUUUUAUAUUACUGGACAUGUUUUGUUCUUUUAUGCCUUUUUUUUUUCCUUAAGAGUAUAAUUAUGUUGUGUGUUUAUGGGUAGUUGUAUUGGAGAUAGGUAGUUAUGACGAAAAUAAGUUGUGUUCAGGGUAAAAUUUAGGUCCUAUGAAGGUAGAAGUGAAACAUGAAAAAGUUACAAAAAAAUGUUUACACAAAAAUUCAAGAUUUCCACUUUGUGUAUAUGUACUAGUUCUCAAUGCAUACUCAAUGCGUGUGCAAUCAAAAAAUACAUAAUAUUUUAAAUAAAAUUUUUAUUACUUAACCAAACUUUAAUCUUUUAAAUAUUUUUCAUAAAAUAAUUUUAUAUUAAUAGUUAUAAUAUUUGGGAUUAAAUGUUGAAAACAUAUACUUAAAUAGUUAAAAGAAAAAAUAGAUGGGUAGUCAAAGUAAAAAUAGUUUUUAUAAGGGUAAAUUCAUAAAAUGACAAUAAAUAUUAAGUUGAAUGUUAACCCCAAACUCUUUCCUCAACCUUUAUAUAUAGAAGUAUAGAUAUAGAUAUGUAUAUGUAUAUAUGAACAAAGUUAACAUGGGCCAAGGAGUGUAGAUUUCCUUUCUCUUCCAAAGCUGGGCCCAGUUUAACAUUUCUUCUGGACAGGACUCAGGGCCACAGCCUUUGGUUGGGCUUCUCAGCUGCAGGCGUGGUGAUGUCCUCGCAAUGUGCUGUUGGUUGAUACACAAAUUGAUUCUAACUUAGGUGCAUUUGAUAUAAAAUUAAAAUUUGAAAACUAAAAUCUGAAAUUUAAAUUCAUCAUUGAAUUGUUAAGUCUUAACUAAUAUAAUAUGAUAUAUUUAAGUGCAUAGCACGUUGAGUUAUUCCAUCACUUACUUAAUUAAAUUAGAUAUUCAAGUUUUUAUUAUCAAACGCGCAUGAAUAUGUUAAAAUCUGAAUCCAUUAAAUUUAAUUGUUAAAUUGAAUAAUCAAACAGGGCCUUAUAAAAUUGCUCCUUUUUUGAAGAGAACAAAAAAAAAAUCUAAGAUUUGUAUCUCUGGAUUUGUACGCAAGACUUCGGCCUGCAAUAGAGCAGAAACAAAAAUUCUAAAUUCUCUUGGCAGAUCGGAAGAUGAGAAAGGAAGAAUCAAAUCGAAUAGCUAGUUGAGUACGGUUUUAGCGCAAUUUAUUCUGCAUGGUUUCAUGCGAGCAAAGCAAGUUUGAAAGAUUGAAACAAAGAAUUUCUUACUCUUUGUAUGAGCUAGUUGAUUGCCAAAUCAUUGUACAAAGAAACUUUUUGUCAAGAUAUUGCAUUUAUUCUAUUAGUAAGUGAGUGGAAUUGUCACGCGCAUUUUUUGUUACGUCUAUGGAGUUCCUCUUGGAUACGGGAAUGAAGAAGAAUUAGUAGUAAUUUUCUUGUAAAUGAUGGCCGGGCAAAUUAUAAAAAGAAGGAAACAAAAAUGUCCCGUGAUCAUUCAAAGUAAGAUCUGAUAUUGCGAUGCGAACCUGGCCUAACUUUCGUGUCCUGUGGUUAAUUAUGAAUCAUACUAAUUAAAUUCGAUUUCUAGCUCUUAAGAUGGCUGGAUGAAACUGAACAAUCUUUGAUGGUUUUCAAUUAUGGCUCAGAGUAAAUGGAAAGCAGCUUUUUGGGAAUAAAACAAAAUUUACUGUAAUUUUAGAUUCACAUGAUAUUACCACAGAGAAUUCAUAUUUCGAAGAAUGUGAUAAUAUAUACUAAACGAAUUUUUUCAAUUUACACGCUAAUAAUUAUUAGCUUUUCUUAUAUUUAUAUAGUUCUUUCUUUAAUUAAUUUUACUUUUUUUUUCAAAAGCUUUUGUUGUGUUUGGAUUGCAUUUUUCGUCAUUUUUCAUGAAAAAAUUACUGUAGCGAUUUGAUAUAUGUGAGAAAAAAAGAUGAUAGGGAAAUAUGAUCACGGAAAACGACAAUAUUUUUCGACGGAAACAGGCAAUCCAAGCGUGGCCUUUGACAUUCAAAUUUUCUUGUGUUAUUUUAAAGAGUGCGUGUUGCUUUGACUUUUUCCGAUGGCAAUCGUUAGUUAAUCAUCACUAUCGAGACAAUUUUGUUAAUUACUAAUUAACAAAAUCAUCAUCGUCUCACAUUGACCAAAAGGUCGAAGAAAUGGACGGAAGGAAAGGAAUAUUCUUUUCAGAAGAUCUUUUAUUUUAGUUAAAAGAGUUGCGACACCACAACGUAACGCAUCUAACCUAAGACCUUAGGCUUUCCGACAUGUCAAACUGGGAGCAUGAACAUAAGUCCAGCCAGCUGCUAGCUAUAUAUAUACCACUACAAGAAAUCAAAGAUUAGCUGGUUUUAUUUGCUUUACACUUGACUCAUAUUUUCUUCCUUUUUUACAGAUUUCUUUCUCAUUAAUCAUAUUUUUUUUUCCAUUAAUGUACUACAGUACGAUAUUAUUGACUGAUGGAUCAUUUCUUCUUUUGUCUUUCCAUGAUUGUCAACAUCUUUUGUGUCAGGACUCAGCAGCAGUAAUAUACCAUCCUUGAAACGUGGAAUUAGAUGACGUUUGAUUAAACUCAAACGUGGGACACGUAACAUGAUCUAGUGGUCCUCCAAACUUGGCCUCAACAACUCAUAAGUAACCCCGCAGCCCACAGCUCAGACUUGCAAACAAAUCAGAUCCCUCCCUCACUUUCAACAAGUUACUCAGUUCCCACUGUGGACUGGGACUCUGCAAGAAGCAGUACCCCACCAAUAUUCAGACUCCUCUCUCCCACCGCAAUCUUCUCUUCUCGCCUUCCCCCACCAUAAACAAACACAGAGGAUCAACAACACGCCUUCUCUCGCAUUUCAUUUUUUCGUCGUACCAUAAUAUCUUUGGGCAUUCACUGUAUUGUCAGCUUUUCCCACCUCGACCUUUUGUUUCUGUUGGAAAACAGAAGAAUCUGAAUUCUUGUCGGGUUGCUCUUGAUUUUUCGGUUACUGAAGUUUUCCUCAUUUUCGCCACCGGGGUAGUGGUUGGUCUGUUAUUUUAGUGAUACACGUGAUUUGGGUCUCGAGUAAAAAUUUGAUCUUUGGAAGAUUUCUCGUUUUAUGGCAAUAUACAUGUGAGGUUGUUGGGAUCUUUUUGGGAAAAAAAGUUUUGCUUUUUGUAUCAAAUAGGUAUCUCAUAAAAGCUAGUGCUAUACCGUCUGCGUAUUCUUAAGAGUUCCUCGUACCAUAUUAUAUUUGUUGAGUCACAAUUUAAUAUUAUAUAGAACAAGAAUCUUUAGUUGAUAAUCAGGGGGGGUUUAGUAUCUGGUUUGGGUUCUAGGAGCGGGAUCGUUGCAAUGGAUUCCUGCUGUGCCACCAUGAAAGCAAAUGCCCAUCCUUCGCAAAUUAGAAGGGCUUUUGGCUAUGGAGACAGUGGAUUUCUGGGAAAGAAGAUCAAGGGAAGUCUGAAAAGCAAGGCUUCAGGGACCAACUUUUGCAGGAGUUUGAAAAGUACUAGUGUAAACGGGGCUAAAAAGAUCAAGCCUGGGGUGGCUUUCUCCAUCUUUACACAAGAUAUAGACCAAGAGAUUAUGGUUAGUGAACACCUCUUUGUGAAAUUUGUGCUUUUGGCCUAUAUGUGUGUCUGAGCGCGCUCCCGCGCGUAUCUUUCUCCUUAUUGCUGGCACAAUGAUGAAUAUUUAGAGUUGUUUUCUUUUAUUUUUCAUGUUGGAUUCAGCAAUUUGAAGCACCAGUAUUUGAUGAGAGUUCAACAGUAGAUCCUAAAACUGUAGCUGCAAUCGUUUUGGGUGGAGGUGCCGGAACUCGCCUGUUUCCCCUUACCAGCAAAAGGGCUAAACCGGCUGUAAGAACGGAUCCCACUAUCUUGGUUCCUACUGUUAAUAUCUAUGGCUGUCACUGUUGGUUUAUAUUAUUGUUUUUUUUUUUUUGGCUGCAAAAGUUGGACAGAAUUAUAGAAUUUUGUGGACUAUAGAAGGGUUAUCCAGUAAAGUGCAUUAAGAAUUUGUGAAGUUACAGUACUAUUAUCAUGAUCCAAAUUAUGCAAUAUGGAGACACAGAACCAAGAAAUUUUAUUAUAGUGAAACAUUUGCUUCUGAUGUGGAAUUGUAUUUCAGGUGCCAAUUGGAGGUUGUUAUAGGCUAAUUGAUGUGCCCAUGAGCAACUGCAUCAACAGUGGAAUACGGAAAAUUUUUAUCUUGACCCAGUUUAACUCAUUUUCCCUUAAUCGGCACCUUGCUAGAAUGUACAAUUUCGGAAAUGGUGUGAAUUUUGGUGAUGGGUUUGUGGAGGUAAGAUCAAUCGGGACCUUUUGGAAAGCACAUUUUUCAUCUUUAAGUAGAACUAGGAUGGAUAGGGGUUUAUAGUUGACCAUUGUUUACUCUUUCGACAAAUAUACACUAGGGGCACCAUUUUUUUUGUCCAUGUGUUAAGGAAUAUAUUUUAAGCACCCUGCAGUCGAAUCUUUUUGAAAUACAAAUAAACAAUUGCCUAACAUGAUGGCAAAGGCAACUUGUUGCUGUUCUAAGAGAAACUUUAACUGGAAAACAGGUUCUUGCUGCCACUCAGACAUCAGGCGAAGCUGGAAAGAAGUGGUUUCAAGGAACUGCAGAUGCUGUUCGGCAAUUUACAUGGGUAUUUGAGGUGCGUGUUUAGAAUUGUGCCUGUUACUGGGAAAAUUCCAAGUGAAAGCAAUAAAGCUUGGCCUUGACUUGUUUUUGUAGGACGCCAAGAACAAAAAUGUUGAACACAUAGUAAUAUUGUCCGGAGACCAUCUAUACAGAAUGAAUUACAUGGACUUUGUUCAGGUUUAUUUUCAUCUUUGGCUGUAUUCUUUCUCUAGCACUUUCUAUUUCUCAAAAUUUAGACAUUAAACAAAGUUAUACUCGCAGAAGCAUGUUGACACUAAUGCAGAUAUUACUGUUUCAUGUGUACCCAUGGAUGAUAGGUUCGUAAUCCAUCUAUCUUCCAAACUUCGUAUUUAAACCAUAUCAUCACCUCUCUCUGCCUCUUUCAUUUGAUAGAAUAGACUACAGACGAACCCUUAAAGUGGGUAAUGGAUCAGGAACUUAUGUUUUAAUUCUUUUCAUGGCAGUCGAGCCUCAGAUUACGGGUUAAUGAAGAUUGAUGGGACAGGGCGUAUUAUCCAAUUUGCUGAGAAACCAAAAGGCGCUGAUUUGAAAGCAAUGGUAUUUGAACUUGAAUCCCUUAUAGAUACUUUUUGACAUAUCCGGCUUAAGUUGAUAUGCAUAUCACUUUGGUAUUUUGACUGUUGUUGCUUGGUGAUUUUAAGUUGCCCAUCCUGAGCUACUCUUCUUUUCGGCUUGGAUACAGCAAGUUGACACCUCUCUUCUUGGACUUUCUGCAAAAGAGGCUAUGAAGUAUCCAUACAUUGCAUCAAUGGGUGUUUAUGUAUUCAGAACAGAUGUUCUGCUGAGCCUUCUGAGGUGGAAAUAUCCUUCCUGUAAUGACUUUGGCUCUGAGAUCAUUCCCUCAGCUGUGAAGGAUCAUAAUGUUCAGGUGAGAAUAACAGUUUACUGAUUUCAUAGACACAAUCUUUGUUGCCCAUGGCCUUAGGAAUUUGGUCAAGUGUUGGUCAGGAAACUUUUUACUAACUUGGUUUGGUGAUGAAAUUUUAUCAUCAGGCGUAUCUUUUUAGUGAUUACUGGGAGGACAUUGGGACUAUAAGGUCGUUCUUUGACUCCAAUUUGGCACUUACAGAGCAGGUCAUUUUCCAUUUUCUGAGAAUAUUCUUUAGUCUUACUGCAUUUUUGUUCAUCUAAUUUACUGUAGAACUUCAUCAUUGGGUUAAGUUGGAAGUUUCAUAAAAAACUUGCAGCUUUGGUUGUCAGAAAUCCAAAAUUCUUAUAAUUCAUGCCAAUACACAAUUGGGAAGAAGAAUUUUGUUUAAGAGAAAAAGUUUGCAGAUGGAAACAUGAAGCCUCCAGCACAGUAUGGUGGCUGCUUGCACUUUAUGAACCACUUCAACUAUAAUACAGAGCUUGGUUUAUUACUCUUGUCAUUUGCAGUUUGCCUGAUAUGGUGGCUCCUAGCAUAUUAUGAACCUAUUUGGCUAUUGCAUAAAUCUUUAGUACUCUGUCAAUGGCAGUUUGUAUCUUGGAAUUAAAGUACGAUUUUGAUCUUAAGAUUGGUUUUCAAUGGUAAAUAUCUAUCAGCUAUUCGCUUCUGAAGGACCUAAAAAGUCCCCACGCUAAUUAUAAUUUGUUUCUUUUGCAGCCUCCGAAAUUUGACUUUAACGACCCAAAGACUCCUUUCUAUACAUCUCCUAGAUUCUUGCCACCAACUAAAGUUGAAAAAUGCAGGGUAUGCUAUUAUGCUUGUCUAUCUUCUUAGAGCUUGUUUCUUGCACAUCUCACGAGUUUACUGGCCUUCUCAGAUUGUGGAUGCAAUCAUUUCACACGGUUGCUUUCUUCGGGAGUGCAGUGUCGAGCACUCUAUAGUUGGCGUGAGAUCACGCUUAGACUAUGGCGUUGAAUUGAUGGUGGGUAGAAGUAUCUUUAAUUGUAAGAAUUGCUUUUGGCCAACUUAAAGUUAAGGUUCUGUGUUUUCAAGAUUUACCAAUGUCAUGCUGAGUUUCUUAUACUAUCAUCAGUACCAGUUUUUUUUUUUUUUUAACCUUCAGGCAUCGUCAGUACCGGUUUACUCGCCGCUAAAAUGCUAUGUCAUGGUGUUUUAUUGUUUGUUACUUGAGUCUAAUCAGUGCAGUGAACGAGUUCAAUAGAUUAUUAAAUAUUAUCGGCAAAAUCUUAUGUUUUCUUUGAGUGCCAUGUGUACUUAUGCCAGAAGAUUUUUUCGAAUUUCAGGAUACUAUGAUGAUGGGUGCGGACUACUAUCAAACUGAAUCUGAAAUUGCAUCUUUAUUAGCAGAGGGGAAGGUGCCCAUUGGUGUUGGACAGAACACCAAAAUUAGGUGAGAUAUUAUCAUAACUUGCAGACCGUCACUAACCUGCAACUUGUUUUAGUAAAUAAAUCCAUAGACUGAACUCUGUUGCAGAUCUCAUGGCUUAAAAUCCCAUUCAUUCAUUCAUCGUCAGUAUAGUAAUCUUUCCUCUAGGAGACUUGGAUGUGCCUUUUAUCUAUUUGCUGACAAAUUUCUUUCAUCCUUGUCACUUUGUGUAUCAAGAAAUUGUAUAAUAGACAAGAAUACCAAGAUAGGAAGAGACGUGGUCAUUACAAAUGCGGAUGUAAGCCUUUCUUGCUUUCUAUUUUCUGUGCUUUGCUGGGAAUCCUUAUACAGGAGCAUCAUGCUGCAGAGGAUUUAUAAGUUUAUCGGAUGUUACAGGGUGUUGAAGAAGCCGACAGACCAGAAGAAGGAUUUUACAUUAGAUCUGGAAUCAUUGUCAUUCUGAAGAAUGCAACAAUUAAAGAUGGAACCGUCAUAUAAUGGUGUCAAGAUUAUCAGUUUCUGCAACGAUGAGGCCCCUGUAUAUGUAACUAUGCUACGUUUUUGUUGAGACUCGUUUAAGGUCUAAGUUUUGGAAUAAAAUUUAAUGAUGGCGAGGACUAUGCGAAGUGAUGCUUCUAAUCUGAUUCUUAGUUUCUCAAGAAUCAUAAUGCCCUGUGAAUAUAACUUUCACGGACGAAAUGGUUCAUCAUUUGGUCUCUCUGUUUCAUGAAAACUUUUCCAAUCAAGUAACGAACAACAGAAAAUCAGUGCAGAAGCUUUUUUUUUGUACCCCGAAAAAUCAUGCCAGUUUACAAAACAUUUUACGUCCAACCAAACGGACGAGAGAAAUCUUGAAGCGUUUUACAUCCUACCCCGAAACAAACCGUGAGAAUUCCUUCCAAGUAAAAUUUACUUGGAGACUGAUUUAUCCCAUUUUCUCAAGGUCCAAGAUUGUCACCAUCAUAGUUUCUAGCUUCCUUUUUUGGUAAUACAUUACUGUUUCUAGAAUACAUUCUUCGGAUUUUAUUCAGCCUUCGUGAUUGCUGGACGAUGAUGCUUGCUGUUGAAGAGCUUUCACUGAAGAUGACCUCGUAGCCAUCGCGAAGAGGGUCCAUUCCUUAAGUUAAAAAUUGCCAGAAUAAGCCACCUGCAGCCGCCCCUCCGCCACUGGCCGAGGAGUAAAUGGUUGAAUAGACAGUAUUGAACAACAGGUCUCUCUGAUUCAUGUUGAAGCCGGGAUCUUUUGAUGAUUUCCCGAAUUCUGUAAAUAGAAGGGGUUUUUGAAGAAUCUUCUCUGCAUCCUGAAUGUGGCUUUGGAGCCAGUUGAUCAAGAAUGAAAGUUGAGCUUCUUCACUUUGGCCAGCUAACCUAUCCAUCCAUCCACGAAUAUCCAAGAAUUGUAAUAGUACCAUGUUUUAAAAGAGUCAGAUCAGUUAUGAAGACAACAAAGAUCGGUAGUGCUAUAGUUACCAUGCAUCCGGAUACGAGUGAACCGUGGCAAAAUCAAUAUCCUUAAUUUGAUUACUUGCUAUGAAAUCUGUUCCUGCUUGAAAAUUUGGAUUUAAGUGCUGCUUUUGAGCAUUCGAUGGUCCAUAGAACCCUUCAAGCCCAGCUCCUAACAAGUGAUUUCUGUCUAUGGACUUCAGGUAGGAACCCAUUUCUGAGAUCCAAGCCUGCGAACGAGUGCAAAUCAAGUGAGUAAUGAAUCAACACAAAUCCCUUAGCGCUUGCCAAUUCUAUCGACCUCCUUUUGCAUAAAACAAAUUCUAGUAAGCGAUUGAAACUUGGAAGUACAAUUAUAGUACGAAGAAGUUAGCGCCCAAGUUUUUCUUUUCUUUUGUCUUUUAUUUCUCCCUUCCAAAUUUUGUGUACUUCCGAGGUGCAGCCCGUGACUCUUUAUGGGGCCAAGUUUAGUGCCCGUGCCUUCUUUUAGUAGGACGCCUGGUCACAACUAGACCAAGACAUCUUCUGAGGCCGAGGCCUAGCCAACAACUAGAGAAAUUUACUGCUGUAACAGAAUAUUCAUAAAUCCUAAUGUAAAUAAAAUCCCAAAGACAAAGUAUUAGAUCCAUAGUAAAUUGUGACCAGCAAUUUGGUCUAUUGUUCACUACCAAGACUUUAGGUCUUAGUUAUGGAUGGAAGGUCAAGAGUUUAAAUUUUACUUUCCACAGAUCACUAUUUGUGAUUUACCACUUCUGUGGCUUCCUCCGAUGGGAACGUUUCCCACGUUUCCCAUUGGUUAGCUUCUCCCUCCCCCUCGAAUAGAUUGAGUAGGUUAUACAAGGAUGGUUAUAUAUCCUCAAUUAUCUCAUACUUUGAUUAACAUUGCUAGUAAUUUCUUUGGGACGUAGGACAUGAUGAUGAUGAUCUCCAUUUAUGGGGAAAAAAAAUUCAAAAUACAAACUGCUGCCCACACAAGGCUAUCAAUGUAGUCAAAGAGGUAUUGAUCUAGUGAUCAAAAUUGAAAUCUCAGAACUGGAUUCAUGUCUCUCUGCCCCCUCCCUGCUUCUUAAGUCUCACCUCUCUGCAAAUGAAAAAAUAAUAAUAAAAAAAGCCUAUCAAUGUAGAAUUAGCCACUCUCCCUAUUCUUUUGCCAUGCAAUGUACCCAUGUCCAUGCUAAUGGGCCAAUUUGGUGAAAUAAGGCAAUUAUGUGUCUUCUGUUUUCCUGAUAGAUCAAUAAAGGUGUAUACUUUGAAGAUGUUCAAUUAUAUGUAUGAAAAGAAAUAAGAAAUUAAGGAGGUAUAGUUGAACAUUCUAACCUGUAUAGUUUUGCCUGAUGCAUCUGUGGUGCACCUUGGUUCGUUCAUAAGCUCCCAAGCCAUUAUUAUGGGAUCAUCCUUGUAAAAUACUCCUGUGAUGCUAUUUUGUCUGGUUAGAACAGCCUGGCCAAAACAGGAACUCAUGGCUGAUAAGUAUGUUCUCGUUACCACAAUCAUGAAAAUAGUAAUGCGGAUAGAAAUGCUAAAAUAAAAAAAUUUUGUUCUUUUCUACUUUGUCCGUCAUAUCUAUUAUACUGACUAAUUACAAAACACAAGAAUUCUUAGAAAAAAAAAAAAUCUUUUCCAACGAAUGUGAAUGGAUGAAAACGAUGACAAUAAAAUGUUUGGCUAUACCAACCUUGAUGUGAUCUUUAUAGUAGCCUUUGACAACAGCAUUUGUGAAGAAAUCAUCAUCAGAAUUCAGAUUCUCACCUUUACUUCUAGCCCAGUCUACAUAUUGCUUCUUUCCUCCAUAAUUGUCAUAAUUGUUUACCAAGCUUAAUAUCAGCCUUAUUCCGUACUUUCUUGCUUCAGAGAUGACAAGGUCCAAUCCCUUCAACAAAUUCACAGAAGGGAUCACUUGGGAGCAUGCAUUCUAUAUUGGCUUCUAGAUGUUAAAGCAAGUUGGUUAAUUAAUAACAAAAAAUGCACAAAUAACAGAAACGGGGCUGACCUGAAACAUCUUUUCAUUGUAAUUGCCAGGAGAAAACUGCAAAGGGAAAUCACCUCCAUCAUUAAAAGCCCAAGUUCUUGCAACAGUAAGGCCAUGGCUAACAGCUUCUUCAAAUGCAGUAGAUACUUUGUUUUGCUUAGAUGGGUCAGAGCCAAAGAUCAUCAACCAGUAGGCAUUGAAACCAUUUGCAUAGAAUGGACUGCCUUCUUCUAGAAAUUGUACGCCUUCAGUUCUGAUAAAUUCAUCUUGUGCUGAAACUUCCGAAGAGGUUCGUCGGUUGUGGAUCAAGAACAGAAAAAUAAGAAAAAAGGGACCAAAGUGCUUCUUCAUUCUUGUUUUCUGACAGUGUUUUAUUAGACCAGCAAAUGGGAGAUUUUAUACACUGUAAUGUAGUAAAACUAGUGUGUUUCCUCAGGUGGAGGAAGGAUGAACUUAUAAACUAAUAAAAGUGGAGACGACAAUUACAAACAAACAAAUGUUAACAGUUUUUUGCUGUGUUAUAUUGUUGUCCAACCUAGAUGCUUUUAGCUUGGUGUAACCCCGCCCGAAUCUUGCUUGCUUUCCCUGGCAAAAGGUAACUCCUCCUAUGGGCAAUUCUUGUACUGACUUGUUUCUGUUGUGAAUAUACCAGAAUCAACAUUUUGCUAGGCUAUCGUAAUAAAAUUCCUAAAACAUCAACCAUUAAAUCAUCAAUUAUACGGAAUUCGAUACCAGUAUAUCCUGAAUUUUUUGGUGAAUAAAAAAGUUUAGGAGCUGGGGAGGUAAAUGCAUUCUAAGGUCACUGAAUACUCCAACGAGAUUCUUUUAAUGUAAUGUUGGAGAGGAAUCGUCAUACUCGUACCCGUUGGGGUUAAAAUGAGACAAAACAAAAUGGGAAUCCAAAGGUUUUGAGGCACAUUAAGCUAAACGACUAACCAACAGAAUCCAUCUGUUAAAAUCGACCCAAGGGUUUCACAUUAUUAAUCUUGACGUGAUCAAUCCAUGAUGGACAAGGGUACCACGUUCAUAAUCGACAAGGGAGCUAAAUGUUCAUGACCAUUAUUAUACUAUUAAUCAUAGUUAUUAAACUCGGCCCGGAGAGAAGACCGGCGAAGGAGGUGAGUCAACGGAUCACUAGUUCAACUAGUAGAUAAGUGGUUGAACCAGUGGAUCACUAAAUAUAUUUAAAUAUUAUGUCUUAUAAUUUUUGAUAUAGGAUAUAUGAUAUAAAUUGCAACAAAUAAUGUCAUAGCAAAUGUUCAUUUAAUUUAAUUUGCUAUAGAAUAUUGAAUUCAUAUAAGAAUCAGCAAAACAUAAAUUUAAUUAGUAAUCCAUCAAACUUCAAGUGUAAAAUUUUAUAUGUUUAGUGUAAUUAUCUAGGUUAGUUAUCAAUUUUAAGUACAAAAAAUUAUUAAAAAUAAUAUUUAUCUUUAAAAUAAAUUAUGUAAUAUGUUAUUUUUUAAAUCUAUUUUAUAAUUUAUAGAAUUUAGGGGUCAUAAGUUUUUAUUAAAAGAUUCCAAAUAAAUUUGUUUUGAAGAAAUAAAAAAAAUAAAGAUAAAAUUGACAAAACGUUCAUAUAGUGUAAGAAUGGUAAUUAACUAACAUGUGGCAAAGUGGUAUGGUGGUGAGUAUGUUUGGAACGAUUUUUUUACUCAAAACCGGUUUGCCCACAAAAUCGGCCGGGUUUUCGAUUUAAUUUGAUUGAAUCGUAGGUUGUUUGAAAAGUCAACGGUUCACUUGCAAAAAUGAUCUAAUUAGCGAACCGAUCCGAUUCAAUGACUGGUUCAUCGGCUUGAUCGAUCGAACUGUCGAGCCUGGGCGCGAAUUUAAUAACUAUGCUAAUAGUCUUCACGAAGACGAUUGGUGAAUGCAAAACGUUUUCUAUUUUGUCUGUGCUUGCAUUAGUUUAUAUUGGCAGCUAGUUCAGGGACAUUGACAUGGGUACCACACUUAUUAGUUACUGCACUUAUUUUGUUUCUUGUUCUUGUAUUGAAGUUUAGAAAUUACGUAAUGUCAUUAACAAAAAUUUAGGAUGCCAAAUACUUAGAAAUUACGUAAUGUCAUUACUGCACUCUAUUUUCCCUGAACAAAAAUUUAGGAUGUCAAAAGUUUAGAAAUUACGUAAUGUCAUUACUGCACUCUAUUUUCUAUUUCAAAUGAAGUGUAUUUAUUAUUAUUAUAUGAUAUCUUAACUCAUUCGUGCAAAUUCAACAUCCGAAAUUGCGAGGUGAUAAGGGCUUCAGAUUCAUUUCGGGGUGAGGCUUAGUGAAACAAAAUAAAUAGUUAUGUGGGUGGGCUUUUUGAGGUUAAGCCGCGAGUCUUUUCUCUGCGACCAUUCCCAACUUCUUCUUCCAUUGUGAAUCCAACAAUUGUCUCUACAAGGUGAAAUUACUAGAAUUUGGAUAAAAUUGCCUAUUACCAGAAAGAAAGUCGUAAAUAUAUCUAUACAUGGUGAGAGGAGAUUAUGGCAAAUGAAACGAGGGCAGCUACAAUUAUUACAGUGCUGGCACCAUCUCUCGAAUCUUUGUUCACCUUUCUUCGGAGUUGAAUCUGUUCCAUGCAGCCUGCAUCUCGAAGGACUACUAGAUUAGAUGAACAAUCAUAUACAUUUAUCAAACAAACUGAUGGGAGAAAGGUCACAGGGAGAAAAUAAAAAAAUUUAAAAGGAAUCCCGCAAGACUUCGAAAAAGGUUAAGGUGACCAUAUAAGAGGGUGAUGCUAAGUCUCAGUGACGGAAAAUGGCUACAUGUCGCAGACUAAUUGUUUUUCUCCCUCAAGCAAACAAGUCUCAAGUUUGGAGUCAAGACUCAGCAUAGAAGCAAAAACAUGCACCUUGAGAAGAUCAAAGACUUUUUCGCAUAUGUACUUUUGCUGGAUGCUUGCCCCCCUUUGCUGUAACUUGUCAGGAUGAACAUAAAGAGUUGCCUUCCGGUAAGCUUUCUUCACAGCAUUAGUGGUUAUAAUCUCUGUCAGGGAAAUUGACUGCCAUCCACUGUUCGGCCCAAGAAUCUGUAUUCAGUCAGAGGAUUAUCAGCCAAUGCCUAAUACAAUCAGCAAUUAGAAGGGCAACAACUAACCCCACAUGAGAAGCAGCAAAUCAUAUCAAUAGUCAACUUCUUGCAUGCACUCACAUCCACCAAGACACCGAGGGAAAAUACUAGUGUCAUUGUAAAUCACGUAUGUAGGAUCACACAAGAACUUCAAGCAUCACAGCAAGGAACGCACUAACUUAACAUCAAAAUGAGAUCAAUUGGAGUAUUUUCGCAGCAGUUUUUAAUCAAUUUGAUGCAAUAGUGAAGUUUGACAACUUCCAAAAUCCAGUUAAUCAGAGUUUUUAUUUUUAUUUUUUUUUCCAAUUUUGAAACUGGAACAUCGCAAGACCAAAAAUGAAGAAAACACUGACGCAACAAGGAAUCUGGAAACAUACGUAUUGGAGAGUUGACAGCAGUGCCCGCAUGUUCCCCUCCUUCCCACUGGCCCAUCGCUUAAUAUCUGCAUCCAGAGUUUCUGCUAGUCUCUGUAUUUCAGGAAUACAAACAAGCUGGUGAGACAAAAUGCAUAAUCUUUUAUAGGGGAGGUCAAAUAGUAAGGGAGAAUUAUUACAUUUCUCUCGGCUUGCUCUCUCUGAGCAAGAACAUCUCGAAGGUUCUUCUCUGCAAGGGCUUUUGCCUGAAAAGCAGACAUCAGAACGUUAUCAUAAAUAAGUAGGCCAAAGUGAAUGUCCAGUAUUCUUAAAAAUUAUGAACACAACAAAUGCGUACCGCUCUUUCCAUGAUUCUCUGAUGUCGCUCUAACCUUGCUUUACGUCUCUGAGCUGAUUCAUUAUUGGUCCCAUCAAAGCUCUCUAAAUCCUGUCGGAUAUACAUGUAUCAACCACUGGAGAUGCAAGUAGAUAUCACACUUUAAGAGAGAAAUGAAAAUUUCAUGAAAGACACUCACAGAUGAAGAAAAGCUGUGUUUUAACCCAUUAACUCUGGAAGCACCAGAAAACUUUCCAGAAGCAUUUCUUUCUGCCUGCGUUCUCAUCUCACUGGUAGUCUUCUGGGACAAUGCUUUUUCGAGAGCACGCUCACGAGCCUCUGCAGUAGCUCUCUCUACUGCAGCACGUUCUGCCCUAAGCUUGGCAUCAAUGGAAGAAGCUUUACCUGUUGGCACCUUUGGCCCAGCAGACUUCUUCUCAAGCUUUUCCCGUGCUUCGGCCAUUGCUCUUUGUCGAACUUCAGCAGUUGCUUUGUCCACAGCAGCUCUCUCUGCCCGUUCUCGGGCUUCAGCAAAUGCCCUUUCACGAGCUUCACGAAUUGCUCUUUCAACGGCUAUUCUGUGUUUUUUCUGUUCUCUUUCCCUCUCGUUUACUUCAGAACUUUUAAGGCAAUCCUUUGCUGCCUCUUCUUUUUGCACAUUUUCUCUGAUUUCCUUAUCUUCCAUCGCGAAGGUUUUGCAUCCAUUCUCCUCAUUAUGUUCUGUACUUCGGCCUGUUUUCAUCUCAGUAUUAGUUUCCACAUGUUCUUCCCAUUUAAGCUCCACAGGGAAUUCAGAAUUUCCUGGUUCCUUUUGGCUCUUGAUGCACUCUCUUUCUUUGAGAUGUAAUUCAAUAGUAUCCUUUUCAUCAUCUUUCUCAUGAGCAAUGCCAUCCACAUGGACACUUUCUGCAUUUCCCCCAGAUUCAUGAACUAAACCAUCACCAUUUGCUGGAUUGAUGCCAGAUUCAAAUCCUCUGUCAAUUUCUUCACUUUGUUUUUGCCCAUACACUUCGUCAACCCACCCGGCACAACUUUCAGUUUUGAUAGAAUUUUCAGAUUCAUUGUCAUUGUUGUGAAUUUGUUUCUGCCCAUUCAAGUUGAUGAAAUCAAAAUUUGAUGAAUCUUUAACUUCGGAAGGAGCAUCAUUUGCCCGUUCACCAUCUACCGUGUCCUCUGUGGUGCAAUUGGAAAUGAAAACAGUCGUAAUAGCUGUCUCUGCGUCCUUUGACAGUUCUGCCUCACAAUUAACCUUUGUAAAACAAAAAUCUGCUGUCUUUUCAAUAAAAUCAACAACCUCAGAGACAUCUCUUAUCUGGCUCUCCGUUGUAUGCACUUCUUCACCCUUCAAUGUGGAUGCCUCUUCAAUGUCCUCGGUUGCUUCCGGAUCCUCUUCAAACUCAUAAAAAGAUUCAGGGAUCCCCACUUUGUGAGCCUCCUCUUCAUUGUUUCUUCUUUGCUGUUGACUAUUUGGCUCACUGCAAUUUUCUACUUCAGAUCUGCAUGCCUCCUGAAUGUCAUCUGGGUUGACACUCUGGUCGUUGUAUGCAUCAAGAUCCGUAUCAAGACUCUCCUUGUAAGCAGCCUCCUGAAAUAAAUUUGCCCCAGGAUUUUCUGCACUAUCUACUGUUCGGUCCCAGGAGUCACCAACUUCUUGAACCUCUUCAUUGACUUCUAUCUUCUGGUGCACUGAGCUGUUAUCAGCAUCUUCAUCCAUACUAUCCUCUUCUAUACUUUGGCAACUCCCUGCAGAUCUUCUAUCAAUUGCUUCCCAUACAUGCUCUUCCUCUGACAUAUUCUGGUUUUCUUCUCCAUUACCCGAUUGCAUUGAUCUCAGCCCAUCAGUUUCUUGCUUAUAAUAACCUUCCAACCUAUCCUCAGAAUCAUCUUCCAGUCCCUUUCUGCUACAUAUACAGCAAGUGGCCCUCUUUAGCGCAUGUUCAUUACCAAACCAUAGAUGAAAAUCUUCCUGCUCAAGAUCAACUUCUUCAUCCACUUUGCAAUCUUCUUGUCUGCACACAUGAAUAUCCUCCAGUUUUUCCUCUCCUUCCUGAUCAGAGGACCUUUUCUCUAGCUUCAAGAAGUCAUUUUCUUGCAAAGGAUUCCCCAACUUUUCAGGCUCAAAGUGUCCUUCACUUAUUGUUUCGUUAAAAUCCUCAUGCUUCUCCUUGCAUUUUUGCUCUUCCACUAAAUUAGCUUGUCCGUUUUUAGUUACUUCAUCUGCUUGGGAAAAUAUCUGGGUUUCACUUAAUUUGUCUUCGUUAGCAAACGGAGAUGACUCAGAACUGUCUACAUUUUUUUUCAACUCCUCUGACCUUCCAAGUGCAUUUAACUUGGCCUCUGUAUCCCCAGACUCAAGGAUUCUGUUAACAGCAUUUACUUUCUCACUAGCAUUCAAGUCCACGGUCACCUUAACCAGAUUUGGCUCUUCGAUGCUAUGUUUUUCUUUAUCCAAAGUUUGAAUAGUGCUAUUCCUCUUACCUACCAGCUCAGAGGCCAAAGCUGCCACUCUAUGCUUUCCAUUGCUAAGCAGUUGAGAAAACCACGUUGCCACCCCAUUUCCCUCAGAUACUUCAACAUUUUCACCAUUUAUUGCCACCACACCCUGUCGACCUGUAGAAGACUCCUCACAAUCUUUGAAGGGUAAAGCAACUUCACCAUUUCCAAAUGCAAGGUACUGGUCACCUCCACAGGAAUCUGGCAUUUCAUUAUCUACACUUCUACAUGCUUCAUUCACAUUUUUCUCUCUGACAUUGUGUACUUCCUGAACAUGCUUCAUUUCCCUUGCAUCCUUAGUUUUUAACCUCCCCUUAGAAUGCAGUUUAGAACUUUGGCCAGAAUCUCUUUUUCGUUCCAUUAUUUCCUUCACAAUUCUUAUGCUUUCUUGGGCCUGCUCUAUGGCUUCUUUUAAAGCAGCUGCUGGGGCAGCAGCAGCUGAAUUUAUGUCAAGUUCCUCAUCAGAGAAAGGAGUUGAAUAACCACCAGUAACCUUUUCAGAAGCCUCAACUUUAGGAUCAUAACUUGAAGAAUUUGAUCUGUUGGUGUGCCCCUUGCUAUCAAACAGAUUGGCUGAAGAACUACAAGGUGGAGGCACAUUAUAAGGAUGUGACUUCAUGCCAGGUUUCUCCAUAUUUGACGGUAUAUCGCUCGAAUUGGAUGCAUCCUGAUAACAUUCGCCUUUAUCUUUAACCAAACUUUCAGAAGAUUGUAUCGUAGGCAGUUGCCAUUUGGCUCUCCUCCCAGAUUUUUCUUCAGAGAUGUCAACAUUUGAGCUCCUAUUAUGAUUAACUUCUAACUUAACUUGGGGCAUUGCCUUAUCCUUUUCUCCUUUUUGCUGACGAUCACUGCAGUUCCUGUUAUGAUUAACAUCGGAUUUGACUGAAGGAAUAGCCUUAUCCUGUUCCGUCUUUUGCAGACAGUCACCGGAGCUCUGGUUAUGACUAACUUGUGUUUUCAAUGGGGGCAUUGCUCUGUCCUGCUCUGUCUUUUGCAGACAGUCACUCAAGUCCUGGUUAUGACUAACUCGUGCUUUCAAUGGAGGCAUCGCCUUAUCCAAUUCUGUCGUUUGCAGAUGAUCAAAGGAGCCCUGUUUAUGAUUGCACUCUGCUUUAACUUGAGAUAAUGCCUUAUCCUGCUCUACCUUUUGUAAACGGGCAGUUUCAUCAAUUAGGCAUGUAAACCCAGGAACAGCAUGGAGUUGAGCUAUGUGUGUAGUGCCGUUGGAACCAUCUUUCCUCUGUUGGCCAGUCUUAUGAUAAGACAUAUUAAACUGCUUUCCACCAUCAACAAAAUCCUCAGAUGCUUCAGAUGAGUGGCUUUUAUUCUUCUCAGAAGAAUAAAAGUGAUCUGAUCCUUUUAGAGGAGGACACGGGUCUGUUGAGAUCCUAGAAAAGUUGAAAAGAAAACUUGAGGUAGUAAGAUAAGGUGCCAAGAAAAUUUUAGAAGAAAGCCUUGGAAGUAACCAGUACUUGUAUGUGAUCUGACAUACAAGUACAUUGCUACAGAUAAUCACUGUAAACAUGCAACCCCAGCAUCCAUAUAACAUCACUAGAUGCUUCAAACACAUGCAAUAAAAGCUGCUCCCUUCCUGCCUUUUGCCCUAUCCCUCUAACAACACAGAGAAAAUCACCCCAGAAAUGCAUUCAUUGUACAUAAAAUAUGCACUUUUUGUUUGUCGAGAAAAAUGAUAAUCUGCUAAAAAUCUUAUUUCAUAAGAAGGUUGUCAAACACCUGUCCCGUGUAAACCAUAAGCUUUCUUUUAUCAGCUGAACAACACCUCACAUUAGCGAAAAACAAGAAGAUGUGUAAUUAAUUCUUCUAAACAACAUCUCACAUAAGCGAAAAACGACAAGAUACGUAAUUAAUUCUUAAAGCAACAAGAUACAGCAAAAACUAUCAAAACCUCCAGCUACUGCAACAACCAAAAUCCCAAGAAUCAGGCUUGAAACAGCAAAUUUAAACUUUUCAUAAUCGUAUAAACCUGCCACAUAAUCAAACUGCACAGGAAAACCUUCUAAUACCUCAACAUCUGAAAGAAACAAUAGCUUACAGGAUAUUAUUGAGACACAUUACCCAUUUUGGCAUGACCAGUCCAAAUUUUCCCUAUUCUACCAAAUGUAUAAAAUAUACAUCAUUCCAACAAGGUAUCACUAGAAACACAUUUACUAACAAUAUUCCAAUUCAAUCUGCGAGCUGCAACAAAGGAAAAUCUAUUAUAGCACUUUCCUUGAAAAGAAGAGUCCACGACUAAAACACAUACAAAGACGGAGAGAAGUUAUACGAGAAAAGUUCGAAUUUUUAGCAGGAAUGGAGAAGAUAAGUAUCAGUAAAAUCUUCAAGAUUUAAAUUUGCUUUCAGCAGCCAGUAAUGUCAGCUAAAGAAAACUCUAUCAUUCUCAACAUUUCAACAGAAAACAAGAAAAAAGGAGGACAUUUUUCACUUCUUCCUGGGAAGAUAAGCAAGACCCUUCAACAAACUAAGCAUUACCUCAAGAACCCAGAAGGGAAAGGACAAACAAAAAUUCAACUCUAAUAUCCCCAAAACAAAAAGGCGAAAUAUAAAAAUUACCUAGCUUUAGCUUUAUCGCGCUUGACUUUUUUAACUCCAUUAAACAACUCUUCACAAGGCGGCACAGCCAUAGCUACAUUAUCACCAACAGCACCACCACCAAAGCCUCCAAAAAUGGUCGAAUAGUCCAGCUUGCUAUUGGAGCUCCGAAACCCACCCGAGCCAUGUCUUUCAUCCAGGUCCGACAGGUCAAGAACCGGAAUAGAACUGCCACGUGUACCAUUUCUGCCACCAAAAAUUUCAGCGUAGUCUUCAGCAGCUACUUUUCUUGAGGCAAAUCCCGCAACAGCUCCGAACCUCGGUUUAGAGCCACCGAGCAAAACAUCGUCGUAGGCGUCUUUACCGGAAAAUGACAAGCCAUUGCUGUUAGUGCUACUGGCAUUAGAAAGCUUUCUUCUGUGGUGAAAAAAAGGCCCAGUCAAAGACUCCAUCGAAGAGACAAAAAUUUCUUCGAGCUUUAGCCUGGCUUUUUCUCUUCUGGUAAAAACGCGUUUUUCAAAGUUUCUCUGAUUUAUUAUUAUUAUUAUUUUCUACCACUCUUCUUCUUCCUCGGUGGUCUGCGUUAAGCCUCUGCAGGGAAAACGCUGCCCUGCAGAGCCAGACAAAAGGGGGAAGAGAAAAAAUGAGUGGGGUUAGAAUAACAAAAUGGAGAAAUGAUUUUAAGUGCUUGCUCGCUGUAUUGGGGCUGUGCUGGCAUUUGGCAAGCAGGGAGUGACCGGUUUUGCCGGUGGGGGAGGCAGUGUGGCCCGUAUUAGAGACAUAACGUCGCCGUAAGGGUAUAUUUGGAAAUUCGGAUCGCACCCCGUUUUGAGGAAUUGUGCAGGCGUGAAUGAACUAUGAAGAGGUUGAGAACCAAUUUAGGACGGAAUCAUUUAUUUAUUAGCUCUAUUAGGCUAAUUAAUUAAACUAGUUUUGAACAAAGACUAAGGGUAUUUGUUUUGACUUUAAUUGUAAAAUCAUUAAAAAAAAAAGAAAAUUGAUUUCAUGUAUGAACUAACUGCGUAAGAGGAAGUUGGAUUGUAAGUUUGAAUAAUAUCUAGUAGUUGAUAAUAAAAUACUAUAAGAAUCUUCAUAAUUAAAGCUUGAUUUAUUUUCUCCAUUAUUGCUCGUUUCUUCUUCUUUUUUUCUCUCUUUUUGCACCCAUUGUUCUGGAGAAUAUUUUGAGAAAAUAUAGUGCAUAGAUAGCUCUGUUUGGUUAGUUAUUUUUUGAAAUAUUUUUAAAAACUUUACUGCAACUGUGUAUAUAAAAAACUUUUACUAUAAAUAUUUUUUAGAUUAUUUUUAGAGGCAUUUUUAAACUAUAUUUUGGGAUAUUUUUAUAAUUUAUAACUUUUUUAGGAUAUUUUUUAAAAAAAUUUUACACCACCCACCACUAUCCCCCCUCCUUCCUCCUCCAAUUUUCCUCGCUCUUCUCUCUCCUUCCCUCAUUUCCCCCAAUCCCAAACCUCUCUCCCACUCACGGGUGGUGGUUGCAAAUCUAACCACCACUUUAGUCACAACCUUCUUGGUCGCGACCAAAAGCCAUUGGUCGCGACUUUUGGCCGUGACCAGAAAGUUGUGGUCAGUGGAGGAGAAGGGGUACUGAAGGAUGAGGUAAGGGAAGAGAGAACAGAGGAAAGAGAAAGAGAGAGAGGAGGAUGAAGAAAAAAGGAGCAGGAGGAGAGAGGAGGGAGGAUUGUGGGUGUAGGGUGAUGGCGGUAAGGUGGUGGAAAGUGCUGGGUGACGGUAGUGUAUUCUUUUGUAUAUUUGAAAUUUUUUUUAAUAUAUUACAUGAAUGUAAUAGUGUUUUUGGAAUUAUUUUUUUUGUGUAUUAUUGUAAUAUUAUAUAUGAAUAAUUUGUUUUUAAAAAUUUGAGGAAACCAAAUAGAGCCCAAGUUAUUCAAGCUCAAUUUCAAGCUUGGCUUGUUAAAAACUUAGUAAAAAGUUAAAUAGAAAUAGAAAUAUAAGUUUGACUUUGAGGGAAGAGAGGGGGGGGGGGGUUGGAGAAGUACACAAUUUGAAGUAAAUUUGAAAACUGGAGUAAUAUUUGCGCUCGACCAAGGACAAAGAAGAUUUAAGGUAUGUUUGGAAUGUUGUGAUUGCGAAUGUGUUUGAAUAGUUGGUUCAUGGCUGUGGCCCUGUGGGAUGUUUAAUGCGUCAGCGUUUUUACGUGUAGUUUGGGAAUGGGGCCUUUCGUAGAAGUCCCUUAAAAGUUGUUGUACAGGAUUGUCAUUUUAGACAGCGGGUCCCUUGGGGUUAAUUGGGAGCUUCAGAGCUAUGUUUUCAUGCUCGAAUCGAGUAUCCACUCGAUUGAGUUCAAGGCUCAGGGUCAAUCAGAGGAUAUCAUAAAUAACAAUUAUUUUUAAAUUAAAAUAUUAUAUAUAAAAUAUCUAAGAACAUGUUAAUAUUAAUAAAAAUAUAUUUAAAUAUAUUUGAUGUUUCAAAUAUGUUUAACAAGAAAAUACAAAAAAACUAAAACGAUUAAGUAGCAAUUUACAUUAUUCAAUGAACAGUAAUAAGUUUAAAAUUAAAAUUAUGGACUUGAUUGAAAAAUAACACCAAACAUUAGGAUAACAUUUUAUAAAGUAUGAAAUAUUUGAGAUAUAUUAAUAAUUUAUAACAAUAUAGGAGUCAAAACAUAAUAUUAACAAUGCUUUGACCUUCAAAAAAAAAAAAACUUUGACACCAAACCGGUUCUUUCGAUUUUUUCGAUUUUUCCGGUCAAAUCCAAUUUUUGACUUGGUAUGACUGUGUUUCUAUCAAUGUGAUUUUUUAGGAUAAUUUGGAUCGGACACUUUGUCUGUUUUCGGUUCGACCGUUCCAGUCUAGUUCGAAUUUAAAAACAUAGAAUCAGUGUUUACCGGUACUAUUCUUAAUUGUGAAAAUGCUUCUCAUAAUAUGCAUUAGACAGGAUUUAAAUCCUCAACCGAAUAAUAUAUCAAAGAGUUUUAAAGGGGUUCUUGUUAUUUAUGGUCAUCGGACCAAGGUCAAUGGCUUCAACUCGUUGUUCAUUGGAUAUCUCAUUUUCGUUUAUAUAUAUUUUUUUCCAACAACGCAAAGUGGAAGAAAUCUCAUUUUCGUUUAUAGCUUUUCAUAUAUUUUGGCUGAUUAAUUUUGACUCAUCUUCUCAUGUCAUGAUUGCGAUUGCAAAGAGAUAGAAAAAAAAUGAAGGUCUUUCCCAAACGCGGUGACAGGCAAAUCGUUCAUUGGAAAAUUCAAACAAGAUGAUCAUUUGACAUAGAUGUUACAAUGGAACUAAAUAAUAGCGCGAUUAAGGAUUCAAACUUUACUUUUAUAUCAAUUAUAAUGAUACGCAAUUUCUCAAAAAACUCAUAUAGAUGCGUAAUAGAUAAAGUGACGAAGUGAUGAUGACAAAAAAAAAAAACUGAUCAUAUAUUUUACGCUUCUUUGGAGAAUCACUUAUGGGAGAGAGGUUAAUAUGCAUGACAACAUCCUAUAACCUAAUAAUUACAAACAAAAAAAGAAGUAAUUAUUACAACUUUUUGCUAAGGCUUGGAUAUAGUUGUCACUUUAUGAGUUUCAAACUAAGGAAUUAUCAUGUGUUGAAUUUUAAAAAAGCUACAUCGCUACUGGACUCUGCCAAACUGUCAUCCGCUCAGAUAUAGCAGCAUGCAAAAAUAGAGAAUUCAAUUUACUGCUCAAGUUUCAAAACUCGUAGUACAAAAAUUUAACAAGGUAACUAGACAAAUUAUUACUCCGUUUACUAAUGGCAACUUGAGCAUAGAUUGUCUACGUUUCACAAUAAUGAUUAUUUACAUGUAAAUCUUGAAGUGUGUGCAAUACAAAUUUCUGCAAAAUGGUUGAGCGGCUAGAUUGGCCUGAAAUUAAUUUAGAGUUAUACCCUAUUUAUAGUUUCACCUAGAGUCUCACUUUAAUUUGUUUUCCUUAAUGAUAUACGGUGUUGGAGCACAAUUUUUGUAGGUCAUUAAAACACAUAUAUUUCGUAGGCAAUUACACAAUUUUGUAGCUCAUGAUUUUUUUCAAAUGGAUAUAACAUGUUCUAAUAUAAAUGCAAGUAUGGAACAAAACAUAUUUAAGAGCUUGGAGCAAGCAAGGCAUUGUAUGUAUUAAAGUUAUAACCGUACUCUCAAUUACAGUAGCCAUGCAUUGGCCUUUCAAACUAAGGUUGUGUUUGGAUUGCAUUUUUUAUAAUUUUUUAUGGAAAAAUUACUGUAGCGAUUUGAUAUAUAUGAGAGAAAAAGGUAAUAGAAAACUGUGAUCACGGAAAAUAACGUAAUUUUUCGACGAAAAAUUACAAUCCAAACAAAGCCUAAAUUCCCCGUAUUCUCUCCAGAUUUACUUUUUCCCCUUGAAAGUACCCUGCACAAGGUGUUAAUAAUGACCUUGUCAAAUCAUGCACCUCACAGUUCUCAACUAGACUUGAUUUCAAGUGGUGGGAUGGUGGGGUUUCAUUCCUCCGGCACCAUUUGUUUGUUUAGGGGCGGCAUCUGCAGAGGAUUUCACAGCACAUUCAGAUGGGCAUCAUAUGCAAGACUGCCCUCUUCACUUUGCUUCCCAGUAAUCCAGUACUGUGUAUAUGUUCUCACUCAGCUUUGAACCCUUUUUUUUUUUUUUUUUCUGUAUUAAUCAUCUCCAUCAUUUCCAAGAGAAAUAAACCAGCUUCUAUCGAUCCGGUGAAAGAGCUAUCUGUGUACAGCACUUAAUUUGUAUAUACAGUUGCAAAUUAUGCUUGUAUAAAUCAGCAUAGUGUAGUCAUUCUAUAGGGGAAUUGAAUAAGCAUAAACAAGAUAGCCCCAAGUGAUUCAUUUUACAGAUGAAAACUAAGCUGUAGUAUCUUUAUUUAGCAUAAGGUACAGGAUCCUUUUUGGGUAGCUUUUCUCUCAAUGUUUCUAAUAGCGGAGAUAGGUACUUUUUCUCCAUGAACUGAAACAGUAAUUAGCAUUAGCCAUUCAAUUUUGGGAAAGUACAAUGAAGGUGGCAUUUGGUUUUGAACCAUAAUUAAUAAAGCACCGACCAGAUUCGUCUUUAAAUAAAAUAUAUUGAACUAUCUGAAUUAUUAGUAUUUCUUUAUUUGUGUCAAAGCCCUCCCAUUGACAUUCACAUCUACUAAAAAGAAGAAAAUGAUUCCGCCAGAGCAAGAAUCGCCAGACAAUAGAACUGCAACCAAUAAAAAAAAAAAAGUACAGCAGUAUUUCCACAUCGCCCAAAACAUGUUAAUUGUCCGGACACCUUCCAACAUGGCAGCUUAAUUGAAAAAUCAAACGCGAUUAAAUUUUGUUACCUUAUCUAACUUGAGGGUAUAGGAGAAUUAAUAUUUCAAAUUACUCAACCUUUUAUCUGCCAUAAACUGAUGUAUAUUGGCCAUAAUAAACCUCUUAGCGAAACACUUAAGAUUACUAUAUAUAUGUACAGUUAUUUAUAGAUUUUGUACUCAAAACCUCCUACUUACUUACGGGUUACCGUCUUUCCCCAAUCCAACCCUUCUCAGAAGCGGUUAAGUUGAAGCGGUAUGAAUUUGCACCACAGCUCAUUGACAGUUUGACGCCAACCAUGCUAACUUCCAUGAAAAUGGAAAUGUAUGGCUGGAUGCGACCUUUCCAAGAAAAACCAAACUUGGAGGCAAGGGGAAGUAAUCUUUUCUUGCACAAUGUAGACAUGGAAAUAGACGACCUUAAACCUCUGUUUUGAAAUUCGGACCGGACCGGCCGAUCGAACCGGAAACCGACCAGAUAGUCGGUUCGAAUCAUACUAAAAAAUCGGGAAUUUAAAACCCGGUCAAAGUCGGUCAAAAACCGGAUUUGACCGGAAAAAUCGAUUUUUCCAGUUCAACAGUGUUUUUUUAUAAAAAAAUUCAAACUUUUUAAUAUUAUGUUUUGACCCCCUAAAUUAUUAAAACUUAUUGAUAUACCUCAAAUAUUUGAUACUUUAUAAAUAUUGUCCUAAAUUUUGAUGUUAUUUUUCAAUUUAAUUUAUAAUUUUAAUUCUAAACUUAUUAAUAUUUAUUAAAUAAUAUAAAUUGCUACUUGAUUGUUCUAAUUUCUUUGUAUUUUCUUAUUAAAUAUAUUUGAAACAUCAAAUAUAUAUGAAUAUACCUUUAUUAAUAUCAACAUAUUAUUAAAUAUUAUAUAUAUAAUAUUUUAAUUUUUAAAUAAUUUUUAUUUAUGACGUCAUCCGGUUUGACCCCUAUCGAUCCCCGGUCGAACCCAUUGACCCCUGACCCCUGACCUCGGCCGAGUUGCUAUCCGGUCCGAUUCUGAAAACAUAGCCUUAAGCCCCCUUUUUUUUGGGGGGGGGGGGCUUUUUUUUGGGGGGGGGGGGGUUUGGACUUUUCUUUUGUGGGGGUAUUCCGUCUUCGUCAAUGGGAUCCUAGUAAUGAUUUUUGGUUCAUGCACAUGAAGAAUCAUUCACAGCCACGUUACAUGAACUAACCGUCAAAUACUUUGAGAGCUUAGGUUAGUUUAUUAGGAAUGAGAUCCUAUAGGACCCGCAUAAGCAUGGCACUUAAAGGCAUAUACUAAUUGACAACAAAUUUUAAACCACAGACAGGGAAAAAUCAAAAGUUGUCUCCUCAAGUGAUGGCCCUCCAUUGUUUAAAGCCACUUCUUUAUCAAAAGGGUGUCUUUUCCUAUGGUGGUAUUAUUAUUUGAAUUAUUGGGAUGUUAAUUGGUAAAAGGCUGUUCUCUUGUUGAUCCUGUCAUCAUUGCAUUCUAAUUCCGUUUCAAAGUUGAAACGAUUUAAUAGAGUACUAAUGCUCAUUCAACAAACAGAAGCGCUGCUUAGUGUUGAUGGUGAUAUCAAUAAAUUUUGUUAAUUCUAUCACUUUCCCCUGUUCUCUUUCCACCCUUAACUAUGAUUUAUUAGUCACAAAACUCAAAUCCCGAACCUUAAUUACUGUAUGCAUCAACAAAAUAAAUUUACUAAUUGAUGUGAUUGAUUCCCCAACUAGAACUUUUUAGGUCUCAUUCUCAACCAAGAUGUUUUUUCUUACAUUCUAUAUGCAUUGCAUACAACCACCUGCCUUUGGCCCGAUGACCACCACCAAUGCAUUAAGAUUUGGUGAUCAAUUUGCCACAACAAUUAAAUGUGGACAUACUUAAAAAAUCCAGACGGAUGCGUAGUGCGGUUCAGUCUCCUCCGAAUUAUCCCAGAACCUCUUCAGGCCCUCCCCUCCCCAUAGUGCAUGAAACUAUUGUAUCGAAAAAAAAAAAAAAGAUAUACAUUGCAUACAUCUCAUGCAACAACAAAAAUUAGGACGGGUAAAAAAUUGAGAAUUGAGGUAGAUUUGCCGAAUCAGUAUUCACAUUACCUUUAAUUUAUCAUUGAAAUAACUUUGCUUAUUCUUCUGGGACAGAACAAAUGUGACGAGACAGGUUUCUUGUGGAACAAAAAUCUAAUCGAACGAAUUAGCGCGGAGACAAAAAGAAAAAGUAAGAUUAAACUACUGUGAUUGGAGAAGUAAACUUUUGAAGAAUCUUUGUGAAAAGAAUAAAGUAAUCAUGGAAUGAGAGAAGCGAGAAAAAAUUAUUAAAUCAUUGGAAAAUUUUGAUAUCCAAAUUUGCUUUUCACUUUUGAUUUGUUUUCUGAAAAGAAACGUAAGCUAAUGACAAUCUGCUAGAUCCACUAGCUUUCACAGCAGAUCCGCCAGACAUCUUUAGUUAUAGAGAGAUAGACAUCUGAACACCAUUUUCUGCCAAUGCACACAAAGUAAAUAAAGGUAUGAAUUAGUCUAAUCAAAUCGAAUAUUUUUAUAUUUAAAUUUAUUCAAUUAUUUUAAUAAUUUUAAAAAUUUGUUCAAAUAUAAUUUAUUUAUAUAUCAAAUCGAGUUUGAGCGAUUUUUUGUUAUCAAAUUUGAAUGUUAUGAAAUAUAAAAUAUUAUUCAAUCUUGACUUGAUUAGUUAGCAAAUCAGGAUCAAACAAACUCUUAUCAAAUUGAGCUUCAAUUAAUUUGAGCAUGGAAUAAUUUGACUCAUCUUUCAAUCCGAGACGCUAAAUGAACAUUGGGCCAUCGCAACUUUAAAUUUGAUCGGGCUUGAGAUGAACUAGAGGUGGCAAUAUGGAUAAAUGAUUCAUAAUUGGUUUUGACUUAAUGGAUGGUGGAUAAAAUUUAUCCAAUCCAUUUAGAUCCAUUUAAUAAAUGGAUCUAAAUGGAUUAAAUAAAAACCAAUUAUCCAUUUAUAAUCCAUUUAAAUAUUUUUGUUACUUUUUUUUUGUAUUACCAUUUCUUGUAAAUUCAAGCCACAAAAUACCACGGAUGUAAAUUCAAGCAAAAUGAACCUUCAUUUCACUAAAAAACUAUCUGAAAUUAUUAUUAUUAUUUUUUAUUAUUAUAUUAUUAUAUAUGUAUAUAUAUAUUACAUAUUACAGAGUAGCCAUAUAUUGCAAACUAGCCCAAACAAUAGAAGUCCUGCAUAGACCGUACGUAGGGUAUCUACAAAUUCGGCAUCCAUGGAAUUUAAUUAUGGCCCAUAUUAUCUUCUACUUUUAGCCUUGACUGCAUUUAAAUUUAUCUCAAAUUCGGCAUUUCCCUCUCAAUUAAUUAAGUCCAAGAACAGAUACCAGUUUUCUGUUGUACUUUAAAAAAUAAGAGAGAUCUUAGAACAAGUAAAAGUUCAUAGAUAUAUGAUUCAAGUGGAUUAAUUAACCGAUUUGUAAACUUAUUAAUGUGUUUGUUACCAAAAAGAAAAUGAUCAAAUUUACCCCUCCUAAUUCAAAAUCCUCUCAUGGUCUGAUGUUGACCCACUUUCUUAGCAAAUGAAUUAGAUUUCACUAAGUGAAGAAUUAAAAUAAACUAGUAACUCACCUUAUUCAAAAAUGCAUUUAAAUGAAUAACUAUAUUUUUCUUGUUCUAGUUACUAGUUCAUGUAAGCAAAAUUUUCACACCCCAAUUGCAAUUUUAGGAUGGCUCCUUUUUUAGUCAUUUCCUUUCCCUCUCUUUUAUUUGGUUUUUAAGUAAAUGGAUAUAUAUGAUUUUAGUGGAUAAUCCAUAUAAAUCCAUUUAAUUUAAUGGUUUUACUUUGAUCAACCAUUUAAAACCAAUACUAUAAAUGGAUAAUCCAUUAUCCAUUUAAUUAUGAAUUAUAUGGAUGGAUAAAUGGAUUUCAAUCCAAAUUGCCGCUUCUAAGAUGAACCUACUUUAAGUCUUGCCUCCACCGAUAGUAUUUAUUAAAGUUAUGAUCCAUCUUUUGAUGCGCACGACCACGUUUUGUCAGGGUUUAUCCUGCUUGCUUUUACGGCUGAACAUGAGGAAAAUCUGUUUUAACAAAUUUCAAAAUGAUGGCUCCUCCAGUUUGCCUAUGUUUGGUAUCGCUUCUUCAAUUGGUAUACUUUUUCAUCGGAUAUUACCCAAGAUUUUAUUUUAUCUGAACCAAAAAAACUACCAUAUUUCCUAUGUAUUAAAGCACCAUUAUCUUUUAGUACAAUUACUCUAGUAAUUUCUAUCAUCAGCAAAAGAAAAUACAUACUCAUGUUUCGGACGCCAGUGUUGUUGUUGUUGUUUUUUUUUUAUUAUGUGCUAGACAUCAUCUUCAUGAAUAACAUAAAAAGCCAUUAAGAUAAUGAUAGCGCUGUAAUUUGAAAAUUAAAGAGAGAAUAAACAUCAAGAAAAUUUGAAAACAACAAUAAUUCUUCCCCACCCGCUUAUUCACUUCUCGUGUCUAAUGCACAUUAAAGAAAAAAGAAAAAGAACAGAGUCUAAUAAGGUGAUUAGUAUAACCAAAUAAAAACCUAUAAUGAUAUGUUUCUUUCAAACACAAUAGAUUUAGUUAAUUUUCAUGCAGAUAGAUUAGUAAUUCUGAGAUCAAAUGAAAUAUUACAUAUUACAUAUUAAUUGUUGAUGAGAGCUAAAAAACUUAACGCCACAACAACAUAAUGCAAGUCAAUUAGGGAGAAUUGAGUUGGGUGAUAAGGUGGGAGGGAUUAUAAACAAGAGAUUUUAGGUUCAAAUCCUCUUACUUAUAAAAAAAAAAAAAAGGAGAAAAAGAAAGAAAAAAGUCAAUUAAAAACUGGCACUUGGUUCCGCCCAUUUAUAUCCGGAGAAGCUUUGGACCAGAAGAAAAAGGCCGGAGCACAUAGAGAAAUGCGUAGUUCCAAAGGGUCCAAUCUCAAUGGCCCAAGAAGUCUAAUAUCCAGACCCUGUAUGAACCACCCAUAUCCUGAUCGGCUUCAGCACAAAAUUAUGGGUCCAAUCUCAAUGGCCCAAGAAGUCUAACAUCCAGACCCUGUAUGUAGGCCUGUCAAUCGGGCCUAAUGAGCCGGGCUUCGGGCUAUGAGUUUCGGGUUCAUAAAUGUGAAGCUCAUACUCAACUCACAUAAUAUUCGGGUUGUGAGUCUUAAUCGGGCUUAGCCCAAGCUCACUUAUUACUCCUGAAUUUUCUUAAUAUAAUUACUAUAACUAUUAAGUUGUAAAACUAAUUUAACAUUUACAAGACUAUAAUAUUAAAACUAAACAUGAACAAAUAAUAGUUCUUAAAAAGUAUAUAAACCAAAAUUUUUUCAACAAUAUUUAUAUGUAAUCCGUUUAAAAUGCAUGAAAAAUAGUAAUAAAACAUGCAAUCAUAAGCCAAUACAUCUUUAAAAGUUGAAACUUUUUUUUAUAAUCUUGUGAUUUAAAUCCAAAUAUGCUUGAUGAUUUUUGUGUUUGUAGACCAAAAAAAAAAAAUCAACCAAUAAUAUGCCAAUACAAAAAGUUACUCAACCAAUAAAAAAAAUUAGAGAUUUAGUUAUGCAUUACUAAUAUUGGCUCUCAAGAAAGCUCAUGAAAGAGUCUUUAGAUGUGUUUUUGUGUUUUGUAAUUUAUAUAUAUAUUUAGCAUUUAGCAAAAAUAUAUUUGGAUAUAUAAUUAUACAUAAUAUCAAAAUAUAAAUAUUAUAUAUAUAGGUAAUUAAAGGGCCGGGCCUAUAUCGGGUAUGAGUCUAAUAAGGCCCAAGCUCGGCUCAUAUUUAAUUCGGGCCUAAUUUUUAGGCUCAAACUCAGACCGGUUCACUAAAUGAUCAGGCUCAUCGGGCUUUUUGUUGGGCCGAACGAGCCGAGCUCGGGCUGGCCCAGCCCCAUUGACAGUCCUACCUGUAUGCACCACCCAUGUCCUGAUCGGCUUCUGCACAAAAUUAUUGUAGUCCCCCAUGUACUCGAACCCCUCUCUCUCCAAUUAGAACCCUCGCUAACCAAAAAAUAAAAUUGUAAAACCCCGGAUGUCUUUUCCAAUCUUGUCUUGAGGAAAAAGAAAAGAAAAGAAAAGAAAUUAAAUUAAACCUGAAGUACUUCUACUGAGGGCAACCAAUACUCCUCCAUUGCGUGCUUAGUGUGUGAAAUCGUAAUAACAAUUCGAGGAAGAUUUUGAUCGGGAAAUCUAACUAAAGAUGUUUCGCAAUCAAUACGAUACGGAUGUGACGACAUGGUCGCCGGCGGGGAGGCUAUUUCAGGUGGAGUACGCGAUGGAAGCGGUCAAACAAGGUUCGGCGGCGAUAGGGCUGAGAUCGAAGACUCAUGUGGUUUUGGCUUCCGUUAACAAGGCCAAUUCCGAGCUAUCUUCUCACCAGAAGAAGAUCUUCAAGGUCGAUGACCACAUCGGAGUAGCUAUCGCCGGACUCACCGCCGACGGCCGCGUUCUCUCCCGUUACAUGCGGUCUGAGUGUAUCAAUUAUAGUUAUUCUUACGAGUCUAAGUUACCUGUCGGACGCCUCGUUGUCCAGCUUGCUGACAAGGCGCAGGUUUUGUUUUGUUUUUUUUUUUUUCCCUCUCUUCGUUCGAUUUAUUUGAUUUUUUUAAUUUUAUGCUGUAUCUGUUAGUACACCUAACUUUUUGUCAUUCUGUUAGUUUGUAUUUGUUCUAUGGAAUUUCAGUUUGUGAAGUUUUAGUGGACACUUAGGGAUAGAGUUUUAGAAGGGAGCACUUAGUGGAUUGAAGCUGGAUAAUGAAAAUUUUUUGUUCUUUGUGAUUUUUAGGUUCAAUCUGAUCGGAUAAUUAUGAGAAAAUGGUUUAUCGGAGCCAAAUAGUGUCGCUUAGUUUCUUAUGGAUAUUGGACAUACCUUCAGUGAGGACCAUGUCUCUGUGGUGCAACGAGUGCUAAAUUGGGUGAGCGAAUGCCUGAGAGGUGGUGGUGUUUCUGAUCCAAUUUAUGGCUAUUCGUCUAUCAGCUGUGCCAUGGUUGAAAUAUAAGUUUAAUUUUGUUGUCCUUUUAACAUAAUCCUAAAGUCACAACAUUUAUGUCUCACAUGCUACAUUGUUUGUUCAAUACAAAGUAAAUUGAGAUUUUCUUAAUGUGCUUGCUAGCACACACCUUUGACAUGCUAUAUGAUGUAACAUGAAUUAUUACUGUCUUAAGAAAAGAAAGUAGAAAUUAUUAAUGUGAUAUAGAUUGGACUAAGUUAGCUUUUGUCUUGGUUCAUCAAAGUUUACGGUAAAUUAAUUGGUGCUUCUUGUGUAAAUAGUUUUCCUCCUUUGGAAUUUUUUUGGGUAACAUCGAGUGUGUUUGGAUAGGAGAUUAUUUGAAAUAUUAUUUAGAAUAAUUACUGUAGCACUUUUUGCCAUAUGAUGUAUGUGAGAUAAAAAUGUGAUUGAGAAGAUAAAAAAAAGUGUGUUGGAAAAUGUGUUGCUUUACUUUGAUAAACUUUUGUUAUCAAUUCCCAUUGUUCUGUUUUUUUUUUUUGGUGGAUGGUCUUUUCUUGGAAAAAGUUUGUAGAUAGGUGGCAUCUGAUUACUGUCUAUUCAUGGACUGACCCUUAUUUUUCUGUGAAAUUGUUUAGAUGGGUUAUUAACAUAUGCAUUGAUUAUACUGUUACCCAAACAAAAAAGAAAAAGGUAAUAUAGCUUACCUGUUAACAAGUUUACGCAAUGACAAUAUAGCUCCUGAAGCUGCAAAAUUUAGGCUUGAAGCUGUUUGAAGGUCCUGAUUUGUGAUAUCAUAGUGUAGUGACUGGCAGGCUAUUUAGUGACAAAUUACUCUGUGUUCAUUUAAAAAGAAAAACAAAAGAAAAGAAAAGAUGUUGCUUCUUUGGGGUUUUGUUCAAUUUCAGAGCAGCUCACGGGAACUGAACCCGUGAAACCAUCAUGUCUAGGCUUUGAAAAAAGAAGAGGGGGGGGGGGUUGCUGUUGUUACAAUUUUUCUUGGGGAAAUUGUUUUGCAAAACUACUGUCACUAUGUAAUGACCUUUGCUUGUUUGGGUUGAGGGGUUGCAUGGUUUGUGCUCAGUCCAGCUUUGCAUGUGUUGGAAAUGUUCGAGUCAGUCUGAUGUAUGGAAUGCCUUAUUAUUUUGUCAUUCAUGUUUUCUAGUUGCCUGCUCCAUCUCUAACCCCCCCCCCCUCUUUUCCUCUCUCUGUAUAUUAAUUUUUUUUGGCACACUUGAUGAUCAAACCUGACUCUUGAUGGAUUGACUUUUGAACCAGGGUAUUACCUUAUUGCUACUAGUGUGACAGAAACAAAGUUGGCUAAUGGCUUUCUUUGUAAAGGUUCUACUAGUGGAUAACGUCAAGAUUGUCUACAUAUAAUAAUAGUUUGCAAGUCACAUUUGUACUUCUAUCAGCAGUAUGGAGCACCUUUGGAGUAUUGUCUUGUGGAGUCUUAUUGUUGCUUCUAUAUAACUUGUGCUGCCCAAUAUUCUGAUCCAACAAUGCGAAGUAAUUUGGAAUAAACCUUAAAUUUUAUGCUGGUUGCAUGUAGAACUGUUAUUCUUAAGAUUCUGGUGCAUUGCAUGGUACAUACACUGCCUGGUCCAUCGGUUCAAAUAUCCUGGCUGUUUACAGUUGUCUCCUCAGGAGCUGAGCUUGAGGAGCUAUCCUCAAACUUUGCAUGAUUUUCAUGUUGACCUUGUUAUUUUAUUCUUUUGAAUUUGUUGAUGUAGGUUUGCACGCAGCGCUCCUGGAAACGGCCGUAUGGUGUUGGUCUGCUGGUAGGCGGUUUAGAUGAAUCUGGAGCUCACCUUUACUACAAUUGCCCUAGCGGUAAUUAUUUUGAAUACCAAGCAUUUGCAAUGGGGUCUCGAUCACAAGCAGCAAAGACAUACAUGGAGCGGAAGUUUGAGACUUUCACGGAGUCCUCACGAGAGAAUCUUGUCAAAGAUGCACUUUUUGCAUUGAGGGAGACCUUGCAAGGAGAAAAGCUGACAAGCUCCAUUUGCACGGUUGCUGUGGUAGGAGUAGGCGAGUCAUUCCACAUAUUGGACAAGGAAACUGUACAAGCACUCAUCAAUGAAUUUGAGAUAGCAGGCGAAGAGGAGGCUCCUGCUAAUGAGGCUGCUCCCCAGGAUCAAGGGGGUGAUGCUCAAGCAGGUGCCGCUGAUCAGGGGCCUACUGAUCAAGGGGUGGCGCCAAUGGAUAUAUGAUGGUAUUUGGGAGGAUGAGAGUUACUCUUUGAUGAAUGAUGGGAUCUGCUCGAGCUGUAGACAAAAAAACAUGUUCUUGUUGGAUAUUUGAUUUUCAUUAUGCGGUCUUUUGGUGCUUCACUAAUGCAAACAUGUUAAACUUUCUUCUCUUAGACCCCAAGCUAAAUUAUUUUCCAGAAUGAGUGUCUGCUUUCUGGUUGGACAUUGCUGCAUUAUGUAUUGCCUUUUAAUAUGUCUUGCUCUAAAGGGAGAGGAGCUUUAGUUAUUUGUGACAAAAAUUCUAUUUUAUUGUCAUAGUUGUUUUCCUUUGAGGAAAAAAUUGGAAUAAAUUAGAUGUGUAUGUAUUAAAAUGAAAAAAAUGACUGCCAUAAAAUAAAACAAAAUAAUUGACAAAAUAAAAUAAAAAGAAUUCCAUAGUUUUUUUUCUUUUAAAAAAAAAAAAAAAAAAAAAAAAGAGUAAACAGCUAACUAGAAAUAACUGAAUGUGGUGGAUCAUUAACACCCCACCAAUGAUAUAACGUUCUGACAAUUUAAGUAUUUACUUUACCUCAUGUUUAUCAAUUUUGUUUGUUACUUCUAACUCGAUAUAUACACAAUACAUUUCUGGUAGAGAGUCAACACUUGGCAUUAGAGUUUGAGUCAUGAUUCAUCUCAAAAGGUCAAGAUUUAUUUUUCGAAAAACAUAUCCAUAUAGGAGCACAAAAAUUAAAAACAUUUUUACAAAGCUUGAUUAAAAGAACCCAGAAAUAUAACAAUAAUUCCAUUCUGAAGCUAAUAAUUCCAAAGAAUUGUAGUAUCUCAAAAGUGUCAUAUUUUGUAUUAAUACAAUCACGUGCAAUGCACGUGAGGCAUUACCAGCGUGUUAAGAAGCGGAAUCAGCAGGUUUUGUCUAGCAUCAUCACUACAGGCAUCCCACUGUUAACAGGAUGUUAAAAGUCCAGAAAGAUUGGUGAGAUGUUCGAAAUUAUUCCUUGCAGGGCUAAGGAAAUAUAUUAUUGUCUUUCAAUUGGACAUCCGCUACCAUUUUAUACAUCUUGUCGGUAUCCAAAUCCAAGUUAAGCUUUCAUGAGUCGGUGGCUCAAGCAAGUACGGUACUCCAACUUUUGGAGUGCCAUCCAGUCACAGAUCAAUAAAUUCAGUUAAAACCAGUACAAACAAGAAACUAAGAUUGCUUAAACAAUGGCAUUAUGCCGUAACAUAGGAUUAAAACUUUCUACAACUUUCCAAUGGAAAGAGUGGUUGAUAAAUCAAAAAAAUAAAAAACAUUAUGAGGGCCUUUCCUUAAACAUGAUGGCCAAGUAAAAGAAUCAUCUAACAGCAAUACCAAUAAUCUUCAACUCCGUUAGGAGUCGGAAUUUGCCGAAUCUGGGACUGGAAGUCCCUUGUUUCGCAUCUGUGUGUACAUCCACUGCCAAUUUUCUCGUGUUACCUCACCCCCGAGAGAACGGAUCACAGACCCACCACUACAUGAGCCUAUUUUGCAACAUUCCUCCAGUGAUAGUCCCUUCAUCAGUCCGUACAAAAAUCCGCCGGCGAAGAGGUCUCCAGCUCCUGUGGCAUCAAUUGCCUCUUUCUUCCCGGUUGCUGGUAGUCGCACAACCUGAAGUUCAUAUGCAUCUCAACCCAUCAAACAGCGAGCAGGAAAAUAUUGAACGGCGAACUAAAUCUUAACUCCCACCACAGAAAUGAAACAGUCCAAAAACACCACAUAUAAUAAUACUGCACGUGUAUAGGCUCAUCAAAUCUUGGAUUUUGUUUUGUUGGUUGUCUUCCAACCACCAAGUUCAUUAUUUGCAACUACUGCCAAAAAUAUAGCGAAGUAAACAACAAAUAUAGCAUAGCAAACAUAUAUUUGUAUCGACAGAUUGGCAUCUUGUAACCAAAGUGGAAAUUGUCAUGUUCAACCAAGAUUAUGAUGCGGAUAAUGAUUGACAUGAAACAAAAACUUGAAAAACUAGUCAGACCAAGGAUUAUUAGCCACUCUAUACGUGGCCAAGCUUAUCCAAGUGAAUAAGUAAAUCACAUACCUCUUUUCCAUUCUUAGCUAUGCAUCCACUUGAACCCAAUGUCACCACAGCCCAUUUGCAGUAUUUUGACAAAAAUUCAAGCGCUGCCUCAUAAUUGGCAUCCUCUUUGGCAUCCUCUUCACCCCUACAAGCACAUCAAGGAGAAACACCAUUGACCUCAAAUUUCACCAACCAUUGCAAGAUUCCAAUGUAGAGCUCUUCAUAAAUGUAAACUACAUAUUUAGUCUGAGGAUCCAAAACAAUAGAUGAGAAAUUUAAGCUACAAUAACCUUAGUAGUUCAAUUGCUUCAUCCUCAUUGGCGAAGCAUAGAUCUAUGUUCCUUGACUCUAGUAACUGCAGAAGUGGUAACCUAAACUGCCGUACCAUCUGCUCAACAGUAAGGUCAGCAGUGAAGUUAGGGGUUGUGGCACUCAUACUUAAAGGUUGUGCUACACUACAGAUCUCAUUAUAAACUGAGUGCUACACCAAAGAAUAUAAACUGAUAUUGGAGGUGGCUUAAUAUAAAAUUUAUUGCUGUCCGACAAGAUAUGACUUCUUUCAGGUGUUCAUUCCUGAUAACAACCCUAAACAAAAAAUGCAUUGAACAGCGGGGGGGAAAAGAUACUCUGUUGGUACAAAAAGUGCUUCAAGUGAAGAAAAAAUAGUACCUCAAAACUGGCUAGAUCCAAGGAAACAGAAAGACCUUCUUCCUUAGCCAUUUGGAUAGCUGCCUGAAUGAUGUCCAAAUUAAAUAUGGCAUAUCUCACGACCAACCACUGUAAAAUAGAAUAACCGAAUUAGGAGUUAUUAAAUGCACUUCGUCAAACACUGCAUUGCAACGGCUAAUAUUCAAAACAAAGUUUGUGGUACUAUUAAUCAUUAGUUCAAAAUGAUGGAAAUAUGAGUUUCAAGAACAUAGAAUUAAAGCAAUUGAGCAAGAACUCCAACUGCAGUCAACAAGCAUUUUGAUUGACAACUGACAUAAUUCUCAUUAUGACGUAGAUGUGUAUUACCUUGGAGCCUCUGAAAUCUUCUUUUUUAAGUUCAUUUGCCUGUCAAAAAUUUAGCAAAAUGAGGACCACGGGCAAAUUCCUCCUCACCAAGCAAAAACCUCUAUAAAUGCCAUAUUACUAGUAUCUAGAUUGAAAACAGCAAGUACCUUAACUUUCACAGCAUCAGAGAGGCAUGGCCUCAUUGUGCGAUUGCCACGUUCAUCAACCAAGCAAACACACUGCAGAAUUAGUAUACAAGAUUUCAGCACUCUGGAAUUUUUUAAGAAAUUUUUAUGCAUUUAAUUAAAUGCACGAUGUAGAUGCAACAAUAAACUCACCUGAGCUGUUGGACCACUCUUCAAUCUCAAUCUGGACAAAUCAACUUUGUAAGAGCUCAUAUUAGUCCUAAACAAUCUGCCUUCUUCAUCAUCACCACAAGCCCCAAUUAUUCCACAAUUUACCCCGAAGCCAGCAGCAAGGCCUCUAAUAGUGUUUGCAACACUGCCUCCAGCCAUGGUUUUCGAAGAAGAUGAAUUGUCAGGAGUGGAAAGAAUAUGGGUGUUUACCUCACUCAAGAUACACUUCAGUUCCGCAGCAGUAACCUGUAUACAGUAGAAAGGGAAAAGAUAGAAGCUUUUACACAGCCGGACAAUUAUAUUGAACAACUCUAAAUAGUUCUCAAACAGCAGUGGGAACAUCCAAGUUUGAUGUUGAAUCACUGGGUUUACAUCCUAGAACAAUAACAGGAAGAAAACCACAAACAAGGGAAGGUUGACACCCAGCCACACAGAAUACAACCAUUGUAUUUAUAUCACCAACUGACAGCAAUAUAUAAUACAAUGGACGAGUCACAGAGACAACCAUCGUAUCCCAACCACAUCUAGUUGAGAUCAAAUAUCUUCCAAGCAAGAACAAUCAAAAGACUACAAAAGCAGCCCGUCUAAUCACGAGAUGCUGUGACCUCAUGGUUUAGAAAUAGACAACAUGUUAAGCACAAUGAAUCCGAACAGUAAAUGAUAUAUAUAUUUUUUGGCUUACGGAAUGGUAUACUCAGUAAAACAGGAAUUACGUGCCUCCAAUUCUCUCUCCCGAAAUGUUCAACAUCAGUGUCUGGUGAGGAUUCUGCUUCUAGUCCAUAGUGACCUUAAUGACUAAUAAACUUAAAAGCCAAGCACUCCUUGGAAACCAAAAGUCCCAUCUAAAGAAUUCACCUGAAUUUCAGCUCCAGUGAUCCAAUUCAGCAAUCUAAGUAAAAUUCAAUCUUUCACUUAAAAAAAAAACAGAGACAUUGUUCGGGCAUGCAUCAAUUCAGUAUUCAAUUAAGUUUAGAAGUGUUUGAAAAGGAGUGAGUGGGAGAGAGAGAGAGAGUACAGGAAAGGAGCCACCAGGCUUGCCGGGGAUUUGAGAAAGGAGGGACAAAUCAACUUUAGCUACGUGGUCAACCAAGGCGGCUGGUUGUAGACCCAACACCAAAGGCGGAGGCCAAGUUGCACUGGUUUCUUUUCCAGUCUUGUUAUAGUCCCUAGGCUGAAAUUCAACACCCAUCUCUUCCUCUUCCUAGAUUUAGGUAAACAGUCGGCCGAUGAAUGAUCCAGAUGAAGCUUCCCUUCCCUUUGGGCGCCUGCACUCUGGGAAUGGGACGUUGGAUCGCCCUCCAGCCUCCUUCCCCGCCUUCUAUCUACUCUGACAUCAUGGUAUUUAUAGACAGGCCCGACUACUGAGAAGCGACCGAACAAAACAAUUAUCAGAUGUUGUAGUGUGUAAUUUUUUUCCCCAUUUCUCUUCAGUUCUAAAUUUUUUGGACUAAUUAAGAGUUACGGUUUUUGUUUUGUUUUGUUUUUGUACUUUUAUCUUUUCCAUCUUAUAACAGAAGAAAUAAAAACAAGAGGUCAUGUAGUAUUGUUUCUUUUGUCUUUUCCCCUCAAUUAUAAUGGCAAAAUUUCGAAUUCAGUACAAAUUGAAGUAAUAGUAGCCCAUAGAAAGAUGCACGUCCUCGAACAACAAGAAUACAAAUUUUCAUCUAUAAUUGUAUACUUUUAUUUUAGAAGUAUCUUGAAUUCAAAGAUUGAUCUGACAUUUCCUCGAAUUUUUUUCACAGUUGAUUACGCUAAAGGAAUAUUCUGACAUCUCUUUUAGAUUUUUUCAUUGCAAGUGAAGUUCUUUUCAUUACAGGUGAGAUUCGAACCCUCAACAUACAAUCCAAAGAAGGACUUAAGUCAUGCUAGCUCAUUCGGAUUAUGUAAUGUGGUUGUACAGAAUAGGGACCUGAUUUGGGCGAAUUACCUAGAAGCCAUGUACUUACUAUAAAGCUAGCAUAAUUAACCUUUGCAAAAGGAUGUGGUGGAACAAUUUUUUUUAUUUUAAUAUUUUACAAAAAAAAAAAACUUCACUUGAUUUGCUGAUUCUUUGUGAAUGAGUAAAAAGCUUUUUAUAUGCUCGUACAUAAUUGUGUUUGUUCACCAAAAUCCACUUUCAACCAAAAGUACCAUUAGAAAAUUUGGUGCUACAUGCCAAGAUUGGACUACUGGAAGCAGCAUAAUCAGGGCUUAUGGACUCCAAUGAUUGCAGAUACUCUUCAUCCACCUUUCAACACUAACUCGGUUCUACAUCUAUUCUUGGUUGGUUAACUACUACAAUGUUGAAUAGGGCAGGGAGGUUUUAGUUAUUCUCAAGAUCUAUCCUAAUCCGGGUUAACCCUUUGUUUGUGCUAGUUGUAAGGAUUCAAAUCAAGAGGAGAUGAUCAGCCCUGCACAAAACAACAGAACUAGCUAGCUAGAGAUCACAUGACCAGAUUCUAACGUAAUAGCCUCUAACGGAGGAUAUGGCCGACAGAGCGGAUGGAUGUAAAAAGCCACCAGCCGUAUACUUCCAUCAGCUACUGCAAUUUUGUGUGGACCAAAGAGAGCAGCCUACAACUUUCUUAAUUUCUUGGACUCAUUUUGUCUUAGAACUUUGUCCAUAGGGAGGGAGGGAGGGAGGGAGGGAGGAGGAAUAAUCGAACCAUAAAUUUUAUUUUUUUAAACGAAAAAAAAAGAAGAAGAAAAGAAGUCAAUAAUAGGAAGACAGGGGGUCCAAUCCAAAUCCACGCAUGCAAGUUCAAUUGGGAAAGAAUCCAGGAGAGCCAAACAAAUAAAAAGAUUCGAAUCAUGCAUGCUUGGAAUGAUUGAGAGGACAAAGGACAAGCCUUUUUGUAUUUUUUUUUAAUACAGUCCAGAAAGCAGCUGAAUUUCCGGGAUGGCUCAUCUUCUUUGCCUCUUCCUGCUCCAGUCGGCCAACACUUUUCAAGAUUCCACUUUAUUAUUCAAACUUUUGGAUAUGCAACAAUUACUGGGAAUAUUUCAGUCGUUCCACAUAAUUAUAAUUUACUUCUGAAAGAAGAAGAAUUACUAGUAGUUUAGUAGUACUUGCCAUUUGUUUCUCCAAUCAUGCUCAGGCUGAUGCACAUGGAUUAGCCAUUAGAUCCUGCUACAGCUAUAGCCUGGCAGGCCGGGUCAUUUUAGCAGCAUUUGGAAUAAAUAAUUUCCAGGCAGCAAUUUGAGGUCCACAAAAAGUAUUCACUACAACCCCCCCUUUUUUCUUUUUAAUCUUCUUUUGGCGUUAAGAAUUAAGAAGAGAUGAGUUUGAGUUGGAACUAAUCAAACAGGUUGACAUACAGCAAAAGAGAUAGUAAUUUCGAAGUAUAACUGAUCCACAUUGUCUGAUAAACUUCUCCAGAACUUAAAAAGGAUCAGAUUGAUCGCUCAAGACUGGGACGUUAGCCCUACAGGAUAUUCAAGAAUAAGGAAAACAAGAGAACGUUAGACAUUACAUACAAUAAAGGGUAUCAGCCAACAAAGGGCGGCUAUUCGUGCAUGUUGCUCCACAACAUUGGUUUCUCUCCGGACAGGAAAAAGGCAUCUCCGGAGAUAAAGAUUAGCUAGCUAAACCAGAAGUUCAGAUGCAAGUGUCGUGAUGCAUAAAUCUACCCUUAAAGAAGUCUUAGUGUUAUUCUGGAAGGAGGUGACCGACCAUUUCCGGAUUAGAUAUUUGCAGAGGAUAGCUUCUACUGACCAUGAAGCCUCGAAGGUCAAGCGAAUAGCUGUAAACAUACUAUCAAACUUAAAAAAGAUCUUACUGGGUGCCCUUUUGUGGUUUAUCUGGUAAGAUGUUAUCUGGAAGAACGAGUUCUGGUGGAGUUUCACGAAUAACUCCUAGCAUUGAAUCAUACUCCUCGUCACGGCGAGAAUACUUCUUGCGAAGAACUUUCUCAAAUUCAAUCUCAUCAAAGGAUUUUGCAUUUUCAGCAGCAUGGACCUGUGCUAGGUUACAGUAAUUGGUUGCAGAUUGGGAAAUAAAGGCUAUCUCUUCAUCACUGAGCUUUCUGAGGAACUUGGCCGGAUUACCUCCCCAGACCUAUGGCAAAUUAACAGAUAUCUCAGACAAAGCUGACAAAGACUAAGACUUAAACGUCAAUGGAACCAUAUUUAGAAAAGAACAGCAUCAACAUUACUUUCGAAAGGAGAACGAACCAAAAAAAGGAGGAAAAGAAAAAGUAAAACCAUUGAGCUCUCCUUUUAAAUUUUGGAAAGAACGGGAAAGAUUAAAAUAAUUGCCUGUCCACUGGGGAUCCUCAUGUUUUGCCUCACAAGGGCACCCGCUGCAACCAUGGCAUGCUUCUCCAAGACUGCUCCAUCAAGAAGCGCAGCUCCCAUACCAACAAAAGCCUCAUCCUCAACAGUACAGCCAUGUAAAACAGCACUAUGACCUGCGUGGAUUCAUUUUGAGUACCAUACCAAAAGUCGGAUAGGACUCUUGUAGGGAAAAGUAGAAGUUUCAAUUUCUGACCAUACAUGAAAGCAGAAUCAUUAAACAGGAUGCUUACCAAUAGUUACAUUAUCUCCAAUGAUGGUAGGAAGCACUUUCCCGCUUAGAUUGGAUUUUGCCACAUGAACAAGGGAGUUAUCCUGUAUAUUAGUUCCAGACCCAACAGUGAUGCUGUUAACAUCACCUGCAGAUAAAAAGAUGGAUCCAGAUGAAGGUUAGUGACAGAUAAUAGCAUUCUCUUCCUCUUUCUUGUCUCCUUUCUUUGGAAGUUAAGGGUGUAGAGGAAAAUUCUUGAACCAAUUUUGCAUGUUAAAUUUCAGAUGAAAAGGCUGGUCAUAAGUUCCCUUAAAUGUUAUCAUCUUGUAUUCUCAAACCCCGCGCCCCCGCCCCCCUUUUCUUUUCUUUGGAGUCGCAUGGGCAGCAGAAGUAUGCAAUCCCACAGUGAGGGUAGCCUAUGUUCCUAUCAAAACUUAAGCAGGCAGCAACAUAAUUUCUGAAUGACAAAUACCUUCAAGAACUAAUCACCUCCACAAAUUCAAAAUGAGAUUCCACAGGUCAGAGAGAGAGCAGGCAAAAUGGUACACUAGUGGGGUGAAGAAGUGAAUGCAACUGGAAAGGAAAACAAUCAUUUACACGCAAAAAAAGUACUGCCUGAAUGGGUAUUACUUUGGAAAAUCUGGAAGUGGCAUAAAAGAAUGACAUACAAGAAUGAUCACGAUGAAUACAAAGGAGGGUACUUAAAAACAUCUCUUUUUCUCUCUCUGGGCUUAGAAAAUUGCAUCCUAAAUUUUCAGACAAUGAUGUGCAAAGCUGCAGCAGCCUUUUUACCCUCCUUGAAGGUUAUUAAUCAUUUUGAUAUCUUUUUAUUUUCUUUUCACACAAAGACCCUUAAGGACAUGAAAACAAGCGUAAUGCAUCUGAUCUUUCAAGAAUAUGUAGAUUUAGUUUCCCAUGCAACAAGUAACAAAUUCUCGUUGCAUUCUGAUGGUAUCAGAGCUCUACAACUUAAAGAAUACCAAAAUCGUUCAAAAGGAAUAUCAUAAGCAAAUACUAUAUACUUUAACAACUUUCUUAAGCAUCUGACUGAAGAUAAAAUGCAGCAAUAUUUCAAAAUUGAAUCUCCUUGUACAACAUCAGGCAAACUUCAGAUGUCUACUUUCUUUUUUUACCAUUAAUUAUUUUUUUUUGGGGGCAUGUCUGCUUUCUUCUUUUAACUGAAGGGCUAUAAAAUUUUGCUCUCAUAUUACUGAGCAGCAAAAAAUUUAGUCAUAACCAAUUGAAAAAAUUAAGAGAAACAAAAAUCAUGAAGAGGGACCAUAUGCCGCAUGCAGAAGUUACAUUCGAACUCUUCUUUGGUGUUAAAGUAAUAGCUAUGAAUAGUCAUUGACUAGGCAACAAAAUGACUGAAAAACUGCUGUUGAACAUCCUCCAGGCAUGUAACAGUCUGAAUUGCUAUGGAUAUAAACAUAAUUUCUGAGUGAAGCACUGACCUCUCAGAACACAUCCAUACCAAAUAGAUGACCCUCUUCCCACUUGAACAUCCCCAAUGAUGGAGGCACUUGGGGCUACAAAGGCUUCCUUAUCAACCAGAGGAGCUUUAUCGAAUAUGUUCAUCAAUGUACGGUGUCUAGACACUAAAGAACAAACAAGCAAGUAAAAAUGCAGAAAAAAGCAAAACACAGCUCAUAAGAGAAUUGGCUAAUUGACAUUUAGGGAUGGGAUAAGGCAAUAACUAAGCGAAAACUGGGCACAGAAGUGCAUUGAAUGAAAUCUGAAUCAACAGGCUUAAAAUGUGCUUUGGUUCAGAACGCUAGCAGCCAGGAUACAUAUAAGUUGCCCUACGAGGGGCCUUAAGGUUACAGUCAUCCUUAAAAAGUGCAAUUAUAGGGUCAGGAGGUAUUGGCACGACAAAGAAAAUAAGAUGAAAAAGUAUAGAUAGCAAAAUCUGAAGCAACAAGCAUAUAUCUUCAUCAAAGAAAAAACUAAAGGUCUAAAAUCGAUCCAAAUGCAGAAUGAAAAUUUCUAGCAUGAGUUCCUAACAUGACCAUGUACUUGAAACUACAGCAAGAGGUUCAACCAAAACAUUUCAUACUAAUUAAACUUAGUAUUGCACAUUUCUAUAACUUCUUUCCUCGCAUUUCCUCGUUAAAUCAUUAGAGAAAUGGUUUGAACUUAAUAUCCCACAUAUGUAUAUUAUGACACACAUAAACCAUGAGGCCAUCUGACUCAUUUGAUGGGGUGAUCCAUAAAAUAGAAUCGCUUCGUUCUUUUUUUUUUUUUUUUGUUUUUUGGUCACUCACCAGCAAAGAAUUACAUAAUUCGCUCCCCACUAAGCCGUCCUAGCAAGAUCCUAUUGCCAGUUAAUUUGAGCAAGAUUAAAACUUUACCGGAAAAAAAUUGACAAAUAGCUCAAUUAGCCCAACAAUCUGAAGAUAAAAGAGAAAAAGAAAUUAAGAUGGGCGUCAACAUUUGUCACCAUUCGUACCAAAAGAAAGAAAAAAGAAAAAGCUGUGGACGCAAGUAUGUUAAAGGUGAGAAUGAGGUGGGCGCAACCUACAUUGUUCUUGGAAAUAAUAAUUUCCUUGGAGACGGCAGCCAAGGCGAUCGAGGGCUUGACCCGUCUCUCUGAUCCAAAACCCAACUGUAUACACUGCUCUUCCCAGAGUUCCCAUGACGAUGAUGACUCAGGAUUGAUAAUCGAUCAGCUCCUCCAGUAGAGGUGUUUUAUGGGGUUUUUCAGCUAAGAGGGUGAGUCAGGGUUUUAGCCGUUUGGAUAGGAACUUGAAGGGCAUCUUUGGUAACUGGCAUGCAUAGCACACCUACUCUUUUUUAUUUGAUGGAGUCACAUCUCUCCUCUAAUUUGUUCUGUUAAUUGCAAAAUAGGCUCUUGCACUUUCAUGUCCUGCAUUGCUGCUAUUACAUGACACGGCCUUUCUUUUCCCUUUUUUCUUGAUAAUCAUUUCAAUAAGGUAAGCAUUCAAGUACCUCUAAUCUAAAGCAUUCUGAUCACACUUUGUUUUGAUUGCUGCUUAUUAAUAGCUUGUUGGGACGUGCUUAGCAAUCCAUUUUAGACUUUUGAAAUUUUAGGUGAACCUUUUUACGAAAAUCCCAUCAAAAAAAGAAGAAGAAAACUGUUUCCCAUAAUUGAGAUUUUGGGGAUAUAUUUCAAAAUGGAACGCAACAAAUUUACUUGAAGUGCAAGAUGGAUGCACAUUCAACAAUUUCACCGUUUAGGUCCAGUCUGGUUGGAAUUUGGAAUUGAAUACUCGGGAGUCGGAGGCAUGUAAUUUUUGUUCUUGCAGCCUUUGGAAGUGCCAAGAAAAACUGGAAUUGUACCAAGGAAAUGAAGAGAUUUCAAUACUGUUUCCCCUGGCUGAAGUGGUACAAACUUAAACACUCUGAUAUCAUACAGAUAUGUUACGCUUAAUUAUGCUACCUUCACUUGAUGAACACAUAAUAAGAGAGUGAGCUAUGAAGCGUUGAUUGAACUCCUUCAACGUGUAUUUCUACUGUUUUUGUAUAAAAAACAUAAUCCGAAUCACCUGCUUUUGUCAGUUGAUCCAUGUAAGAUCAAGGUACAUAAAAGCUUCGAAUGGAAGAAGCGUAUGGCGAUGGUAAAUUCUCAGUCACACCAACAGCAAAGUGGCACAAUGACUUUUAAAGGGUGUUCUAAUAUUUGUCUUGGAUAGUUCAUCUCCUCAUCGACUCCUGAGGCGGCUUGGAACGGUUGCCGCUACUGCGAUAUAUGCCUUGCGGGUUUCUUGCGUUGAAGGAUUCUACACUGUUGAUAUCCUGAAUUUGUUGACUGGAUUUCUAUCCCCUAAGGCUGGAAGCUUUAGAUGGUGUUCCGUUGCCAGCUAAGGUGUCCGAUGAAUUUAGGCCUUUUUUUCGGUGUCUUCCUGGAUUCAGAUUCUGGUGAGAGUAUCUCCUCUGCCACAAAUUCACAAGAUCUAGGAAGAAGUUAUCAACGUUCAGCAGAUAACAUAAUCUUGUAAAGGGGUCAGGGCUGCAAAACCAACAUGUCAAAUACAGAGGUGCUGUAAAGGGAUCGACAUAUGCUGAUCGAUUGUUGAGUUACAGAUUCUUUCCAGUUUGACCUUUACCGCGAUUAAUGAAUAGUACUGCUGUUUAGAACCUGUUCAAUCAACGUCAAUUUUUUGGUUCUCUCUCGAGCUGUUUCAAUUUUAUUUUUAUUAAUCAAACCUUUUGACAUAUAUUCUACUUCUAGAUGUGACAACUUGGCAUUCAUUAUUUGUUCAAGCGGUGACUUUUUGAUCAGCAUACUCUUCCUAGUAUUCGUUAGUAGAACCUUCAUCCUCAGUUCAUCCAAACAAGUACAAGAAAAACGGAGUAAACCGUUGCAUAAGAACAUCUCAUCAGACGGAGAAAGUGACUCGUUACCCUUUUCAGCACUGAGGAUUAAAUAUGCUUCUCAUGAUACUCAUCAAAUAUUGCUAGUUUGUUCUUCGGAUAUGAAGAGGAUUCUGUGGAUGUUUGGGAGAAGGUCUGCGUUCUCUAGAGUCCUCUGUACAGCGAAGCAAUACCAAUGUCCAGGCUUUGAGCAUUUCAUUAGUCCUUGACUCGAGUUCAACAAGACAUGCCAGAUCGAUUGUUAAUGAUAAAAGAUUUUUAUUGGUGCAACAAACCUCCAACAACUCAACACCAGAAGGCACAAGGUCAUUAUCAAAUAUCAUCCCAAUAUCUGACUUUCUAUCCAUGACAUCAUAGUACAAAUAAUAGUGUAUACCAAACUGCAUAGUGGGUUAGAAUCUUCAAACAUCACUUGCUAAUUGUUUCUUAAACAUGGCCAGCUAAAGUGACAAAAAGUCUCCUCCUACCACCCCCCCCAACCCUGGAUAAAAGCCUUCAGAAGACUUGAUCAAAUAUGUAUCACUCAAGUUUCUCCAACAAAUGAGUGGGAGAACUUUUGUCUUGAUUUUGUUCUUCUGGGCAGUACUCACCAUUGUCACCCCUAUGCUUGUUCGCUUGUCCGCUUCUGCCAAACCCCACAUUGAAUUCAAGGCCAAGGGUAAGAAAACCAAGAGAUGUUUGUUGCUCAUGUAAUUUUUACACCUUCAAAUUUCAUUUCCAAAUUCUUGUUUUUCAGAAGUAAUAUUUGGUUCCGGGAAGAAAGUAAUUUUUGGUUUUUCAGAAGUAGUACUCUACUGAGGUCAAUGUCAAUUUGCUGCAAGUCUGAAACAAGUGAAACAAUUAGUGCUAGGCCUUGAAACAAGUGAAAAAUGGAGCAUGAUAUUUGGCUUUGGUUUACUUUCUUGUAGGGGAAACACGGGAAGAGAUGUACACUAGGAGGGUUUUGGAGAUGUUGCCUAGAAGAGCACUUGUUCCUACAAUGAUGCACAAGGCUCCAUUGGCACCAGAGCCACCAGCUUCCGCACCAGCACCAGAACCAGAACCAGAACCAGAACCAGAACCAUCAUUAGUAGUCAAUGGCCUAGAACUUUUUGUAGACGGGGAUAAAUUGAUAAGCCAUAAAGCACAUGAGCUGCUGCUCAGAUGAAUUUGGUCCGGAUUAUCGAGCAAACCAUCAUGAGACAAGUGUUAAUUUUUAUUGAGAAGGUGGUUGGGCGCGAUUGUAAAUAGAAUGUUGGUAGGUUAUUCUACCAUAGAACUUUUUUUUUUUUUUUUUGUAUUCUUUUUUUUCCCCUUCCCUUGUGGUUAUUCUCAACAAUAAAAAGCACAGAUAGCAAAGUAUUUAAAUUUACAGACUUCUAUUAACAGGUUAAUUUCGAGCUCAAGGGCAAUAAGAGUGGAAAAUUGAGGAAGAAAUGCAACGUGUUUAUAUAUAUGAAGAAAGGAGUAUAUACAUAUUACACAUAGUUCAGUCUAUAUUAAUUCCAAGAUGUCAUCAUUUUCUUUAAUCUUCUUCUUUCUUCUUUCUAACUCACCGUUUGGAUUAGCUAUUUUUUGGGGUGUUUUUGAAAAAUUUUGUUGUAGCAAAUUUUUUAAUUAUAUUUUGAGAUAUUUUUAGAAAAUAUUUUGAAAUAUUUAAGAGUAGAAGGGUUUCUAAAAUAUAUUUUGAGAUAUUUUUUAAAAUUUUAAAAAAAUUUAAACUAAUUUUUAGAUUACCUUUAGAGUAUUUUUUAAAAAAUUUUAUUGUAUUUGAAAAACAUUCCCAUUCAAACUGGUUUUUUUUUUUUUUUUUUUCCAUCCAUUGGCUUUUGCAUUGGCGAUGGAUAUGGUAAAUAUACUCUGUUCUUAAAUUAAAAAAAAAAAAUUCUAGAUGGGCUCCAGUAUUGGGCUGAAAUCGUACUAAAAAUACCAAUCUAGAUUCUUUAAGUUGCAAGGGCCACAUGUGUGGCGUCCGCGGUGUGAACAAUGAGAACGGGGUCCUCCUUGUCCAAUUGGAGAAGUUAAAGUAAAUUUUUGUGUUUGGUUGUCCGGAAAAUUGUUUGGAUACUGUUAGGAAUCUGUUGCAAAUAACCCCCCAGCCCCAAAAGGCCCAUCUUCUUUAUCAUGUUUGGAUACUGUUAAAAAUCUUGACACGAAAAAUUAUGUAACGUCAGAUUGCCAUAAACAUUCCUGCGAGCAUAAUGUGGAAUUGUUAUUGUGAACCCCUUGUUUACAUAAUAAUGGAUGAAACACACCGUGCUUUAGUUCAAUGGGGACGUAUUUGAGAUUAUAAAUAAACUUCCAUUAAAGGUUGCUUAGCCAAGUUUUGCUGAUGACAUCAUUACUGUCUCUGAAUAAAGAAACAUGCCAAGAGUGAAAUUCAAGCAUCCCCAAUUGAACGACCACCAUGCACAAUCAUCACAGGCUUGGGUUUAAAGCAUAAUUAUGCACCUGCCACUCGACAACAGACGUCAAACUCUUAGUUCACCACAACAGCAAUGGCACAGUUAUGAUUGUGUAUUGUCAAAGCUAGGGGUGCACAUAACUCAAGCCGCUUGUGAGUAUCUUGAGUCGGAGGUCGAGCUCGAAUUCAAAGACAUUUCACUCAUUAACUCGUGAACCUACUCGAUUAUAUAUAUAUAUAUAUAUAUAUAUGUGUGUGUGUGUGUAUAUGCAAUGGCAUAGUUAUAAUUGAAUAUUAUCAAAGUUAGGAGUUCAUACAACAUGAACCGCUCGUGAGUAGUUUGAGUCAGAGGUUGAAUUCGAGUUCAAAGAUAUUCCGCUAGUUUAUUCGUGAACCAAUAGUGACAUUACAUAUAUAUUUUUAAUAUUUUUUUAUUUAUUAAAAAAAAUUACUAUUUUAUUCAUUUUUUUAAAAAAUAAAAUAAUUAUUAUUUUUUAAUUUUUUUAAGCUCGAACUCGGGUUUUACAUUGAGAGUUUGUCAAAUUCGAGUUCGAGUUUGAUAAAAUUAAGCAGAGAAUCGAUUUGAUUAGGGCAAAGCUCCUCUGUUUUGCAACCCUAGUCAAAGCCUAUUCUUUCAAUAGUCGCAUUAGUGUUGUAUUUACUGCCAUGUCAAUUACAUUGGCCAAUAAUCCCACAAAGAGUCAGAAGUUAUUAGCAGCAAUUCACAAGAUUGAAUUAUAAAAUGAGUUGCAAAGUGCUAUGGCAAAAGCAUUGUAGAAAGUGGAAAACGACUCGUUUCAUUACUACCUCAUCAUUCCCACAAAGGGGCAGAGAAUGUACAACACUAAUAUAGAUAACACUCCUCAUAUAUUUGAAACAUGAGCUAAAAAUAUGAAGUAAAACCAAAUGUAGCAGAAGUAUUUAACAAAGAUCAUUACAAGACAUUCAACACAAAGGCUUUGACAAAGUUUAUCAGCCAAGGCAAUGACCAUAUUAGAAGACCGAUGAACUUCUCAGACGAAUCGAUCAAGGUACUCCUCGACAGUGGUGUACUUGACAUCAGAAUAGAGCUCUGAAGCCUCUACACCAAAAGAUGGCUCAAUUGUAAAGUUGGUACUAUCACCGUUAACCAGAAUUGAAUGGCGGAUUGAUAAUGCGACAUUGAGUGGAGUUGGAGCCUCUGCAAAGAAAUGGUCCAUCAGAAAUUUAUACGCUAAUAAUUCAUACAACUAGAAGACAUAAAUGCGCUUCGCGCGAUGGAAAUGUAAAAUGCCCUGUCCACUUUUGUAUACAUGCAAAAUAAAAUAUAUGAAGUAAUAAAAAUUGUAAUUUAUGCAGAAAAAGUAUGCGAAUUAUUAAUAAAAUUUAGAAGGAAUGGAUCCUUAAACAGGUAGUCUAUGGAGUUAAACCGGUAGUCCAUGGAGUUAUGUCUGUUCCAUGCUUUGUUUUGCAUAUGAAAACCAUUUGCAAGAGAAAUGGCAAUAAAUUGUAUCUACGCUCAAGUACGACAUCAUAGCCAUUUCUUUGGUCUCCCUACCCCACUUACCUUCAUCUUUCCUAGUAGAAAACCAAGGCAGCCAUUCAAUUAAUUCAUUCUUGUGGAGAUUAUACACCAUCCACAUUUGUAUAUGGAACUUUGUUUCCGAAAAUACUCUACAAAGACGAAAACAACGCUUCUGUAAACCACAUUGUUAUAUCAAAGAACUUCCAAAUUGCUCAUCCAUAGAAGCUACGACAUAUCCCGCGUAGAAAACACACACUCAAGUCAGGGGCAACAAAAUUGACAUUGCACGUAAACAAAAAUUGUUGGAAACAGGUACCGCAUCAUCAUUUUGUCAACAUUACUUUCAUUAAACACAAAACUCAAUGGCCAAUGCCUCUAUUAAUAUUACAAAAAUACCAAAUCCGCACUAAUUUGAAGGCUAUGAGGGGAAAAACAGAUUUUCUAGUCUUCAAUUGUUUAAGCGAUAAACAAAUAGAGAGAACUCCAACAUAGUACAAACUUAGUAACCCCCUUUGAGAUCAUUGACCACAUUUUAUGGAAUUGGAGUUACAGUCUCCAAAGUUGCACCUUCUACCAUGAAACCUGGUUUGGGCCCUUCAGGUUGCCUCUUAGUAUUGUUGACCUCACCUCUUGCCUUUGCUGCAGCCUUCAAUUCAUCAUUUUUUCUGUUCUAUACUUGAUUUCCUCAUUGCAUCGAGAAGGCUGAACAUACUCUACGCGAACAUGAAUCCUCUUCCUGAUAAUCAUAUUAUCAACCUGCAGGUAAAAUUUGUGGAAGCAAAGAUUAGCUUGCUUUCAAGAUAAUGGAAUAUAAAGUAACAAUGUCAUGAUGUUGUGGAACAGGACCAUAGAAGAUAGAUGAAUAGAAUAAUUAACAUGCAAUUCUUGAUGCAUAAGGUCCAAAAGAAACCAUACCAGUAACAAAAUAACAAAGUUAGGCUGGAUCUGUGUUGCUGGAUCUUCAUGAUCAUGUCCGUCAUCUUCACUCUCAUCUUCUUCAUCCUUCCUCUUUUUAUUAAGUUUCCCAUUCUGAUCUCUGUUACCUGUAUUCUGAUGCCCGUGACAGACAUCUCUAUUUCCCUGAACAGCCUUGUCUUCAUAAGUAGACUUCCCUUGUUUCUUGGUAUCAAACUUCUUUUUCCUGAUAACAUGUUGCCAAAUAUUCCUCAGCUCCUUAAUUCGAACAAGUUUCACCAAAGUCACAUGCACCAUGCAUGACCCAUUUUAUUACAAGCUUGGGAUCACUGUUUGCUGAUAACACUGGCAGAAUUCAAGGAAGUAUUCAUAUGGAAUGAUCAAAGGGUUUCUAUAACAUAAUGCCCAAACACUCAAUAUGCAUAUAUUUUGAAAGACAAAAUAGUAAAACGUUCUUACUUUACGCAUUUGAGCAAAUAAUGCCAAAACAAUGCAGAUAAGUAAAAUGACAUGCUUCCUGUUCCCAAAUGCACUCCAGAAAGGAGUAAUCAUAACAUUCUCGAAUGACAUAGAAGAGAAAGUUUGUUUGCUUACUCAUGACAGGAAGGUCCAUUUCAAGUCCAACAAGCUCCAAAAGCUUAUAGCCAUCCAUGUCAGGCAUAUGAACAUCCCUAAGUACUAAGUCAAAUCGGUCCUUAUUUUCCCUCAACAUCUUCAACACGGCUUGCUGGGUAUUUUGAGUACUGUAAGUUGAAUGAGACUGAAGAAAAGAAAGAAAAACAUAAAUGCUUGUACUAAAGUGAGCACUGUCAUCAUGAAGUUGAAGACACUUCAAAUUCAGUGUGGAAAAAGUACCUGAUACAGCCUUUUUUUGUUGUUUCCAUCCCACACACUAACAUAACCAUCACAAUCCCCAGUAGCAAAUGUACCAUAGCUGCAUAUUUAAAUCAGUUUUGAGAUAGAUUACGGGAAGAGGCUAAAGAUAUUCAAUCAAUAGAAAAUUGUAAUAGAUCCAACUCAAUCAUUCAACAUAAAAUAAAUCAAGAAAAGAUAGCUCCACUAGUGAAAUAUCUUAGCAUUGAUUUUCUUUCUUAACAAAACUUGAAAAAAAAAAAACAAAAAGGCCAUACAAGCCAACUUCCAAUGAAUGACUGCUGAACAAUAAUCUCUUUAUUGUGGAUAAAUGUAUAUGCAGCACUUAUAUGAGAUGAAAUGCAAUUGAAUUCAAUGGGGUAGACAAUGUCCCUUCCAGCUCCAGAUUUUCGAUGACACUUGAAUGCAUACCUACACAUAUAAACCAUCAUAUAGUAGACAAUUAUCAAGGUCUGCCUGUUUCAUUCUUGUUGAAUUCUUGAUAUAAGAAAUUUACUCAUCUUAUUCAAUAGCCAACAGAAGUUUUAAUCCACCAGAUCAUAAGGAAUUACACACAUGUCAAUAUCAUUGCACCAUGUUUAGUUCUCUAACAAGUAAUUUUAAGGUGAGAUGCAAGCAAGUAAUAGUACAAAAAAUUGGAUAAGAGCCUCUAUGAAGAGCUAACAAAUUGAGGAGGACCGAACAUAAGAAUGGUAUUGGUAAGGUACCAUAAUAGCUUAGUUCCUCAUUUCUCUCCUCUAUAUUACUCUUCGAAGCAAAGUUGCCAUAACAGUAAAACUUAUGCAGACACACAAACUAAGAUUGAUCAUACCCUUUAUACUACUCCAAAACCGCCGCCUCCUAUUCUAGUUUGAGGAGAGAAAGUGUCCUGUUGCUGACCUCAAAGAGUUGUAUGAGAAUAGCCUGACAUUGCUGGUAGCAAGCUCUAACCAUGCAGAAGCAGAUAGAAAACCAGAGAAUCAGAAGUGAUCAUAUACAAAAUCAUGGAAAAGAGUUGUAGAUUAGUAUAUGCACUAUUCAGAUGAAACCAUAACACCCAUCCUAAAAUAUGCAGCAUAAAUCUCACAAAAAAAAUUCAGGUUCUUAUAUCUUUGAACUGAAACUGUUAUCUAAGUUGUGAGCAGCUAAAGGCACUUAUGUCCCGCUUAGAUUAAGCUCAAACUGAAACCUGACUUUGGAGCUUUUUCUGAUGUUAACUUUUUCUGAACCAAACAACUCUAAACUGGGUAACAUAGCUACCUUAAGAAUACAUGGAUCGGCUCCACUUAUCAAGUUAGAAAAAACAGAUGUUUCCUAAGGACGCAUAGUUAUGAUGAGAAGCUUGAAGGUUGUGCUUGCCUGGGGAAUAUCUAGAGUUGAAAAUUGGAAAUCGGGAAACAUAAAUUCAGGUUCAAUUGCUAAUUGUAAACUGUUAAAGUUUUGAGCAUGAUAUUAACAGCCUAAUUUGUAGUUCAAGUUUGGAGACAUUUGCUUUAGCAGAUGAUAACUAACAAAAAAUUUCAUGGCAAAUCCCUUUUCACUCAUUAAUACCUCUCAUUUUCAUGCGUACAACACGCAAAUCCCUCAAGAAAACAGAAAUGGCUUAUAGAGUAUUUCACUUUCAACAAGAAUGUUAAAUCCAAUCAACAAAAUUAUCACCAUGCUCAAAUUUAGCAAUAAUUGGGAAAAACCUCCAUUCAAGCCUAAACUAAAAAUUGAAAUAUUCUUGGUUCUUACCUCAUGGCACAUGUGCUUUAUUCGUCCCUUGCAAGAACCAGAUGCACUGAAACAGCUACUAAACCCCAUCUCUCCUUUUACGCAUCUGAUGACAAGACCCCACCAAGAAAAAUCUUACAAUCGUUGAUGCACCUGCUUCAAAUCCAGACCCAUUACCUCGUAAGAUAAGACAACAGAGUAUGAAAAACCGAUUGAGGAAAAAAAAAGGCAAACCUUUAUCCAACUUCCCGCAGGUUGUUUUGGACGGCAGAUGAGGAUUAUACUCGAAUUCGAGUGCCGGUGAAUAAAGAAGUAAACUGUAUGUAGUAAGAUGGGAUAGGGAGAGGAAAGGGCAGGGAAGGGAGAGGAAGUGUGAGGAAGAGCGGCGAGGAUGAAAGGCGGGUCAGCUUAGGGUUAGGAAAAAGGGAAAAGGAAGAUGCUUUAAUUGAUCUCUUUCUCUGUUUCCUCCAAGCAAGGAUGGUCUGGAGAUCUGGAGGAGUUGAGCCUAUAAAGGGUGAGGGUCUGGGUCCGGAGGGUCUGGAGAUCUAGGGAGGAAAGGCAGUGAGAGAUGCCGAUGAUGGCGAGGAUCUUGCUACGGAAUUGAAAGGCCUCUCAAAGGCUGAGAGAUAAACGAGAGGAAGAAGGUGCGGCGGUGGAGGAGAAAUGGUAUAAAAAAAAAGGGAACAGCGAGGUUGAACUUGAAGCAGAAGGAGGCGAAAGGGGAAUCCCAGGGCCAGUGGGAGAAAGCGGACCUCUGAUGCUAGGUAGAAAAGGAGGCGAUAGAGGAGAGGGAGACAGUGCGCCGGCGGAGGAGGAGGAGGAGCGAAUGGACAAAGUAUGAGGAUGUACGUAACCCUAGAGGAAAAGGGAGAGAAAUUGAGAGGACAGAGGAACAUUGUUGUGGAAAGAAGAGAAAGAUAAAAGAGGAAAACAAAUGACAGAAGAAAGAGAGAGAGAGCAGCUGCAGAGAGAAGGCAGCGGGAAGAAAGAAUGCAGCAGAAGCACAUGAGAUACUGGCAGCGAGGCCAGGUGGGAAGCUAACGCGCGAGGCGCGAAGGACUAAAUGCUUCUAAUCCACAUGCCGGGCACGUGAGAGGACGACGAAAGUUUUGGCUGAAUUCUGUUGGGACGUUAUCUACUUAUGUUGAUAAGGUUUGCUAAGAAGAAUGAGGAAAUUGAAAUCAAACUUCUUAUCACCUUGGAUGUUCUUCAGGACUUGUUCCUCAGGAAUAUAUUCCUUCUCCAAAGUUUUACCAAUCUUCUUCUCCCAUAUGGCCACUAACUCAUUAAAUGACACAAUAUUCUUAGGGGGCAUAAUGUAGACAACUUUGUUCAAUGUUCUUGGAUCAUGGACAGUUUUGAUGGUGAAGGUGCCAAUGUCAUGUUCUUCAUUGUAAACCGCUGCAAUUGAAACAUUAGAAAAAAAACAUAUACAUGAAGCACCGACACAAUAUUCACGUUCUUACAGGAUAAUAACUUGGGCAGAGGAUAAGAACAUGAUCAGGUGAAGUAGGUGAAAAAGAAUAGCCGAGUGAUAUUGUAUGCCAUACCUUUGGCAUUUCCAUCUCCCCAGAUAGCAACUUUAUCUCGUGGUGGAGCAGUGGCUCCUGGCUGUACCAAGGUUCGAAGAAAAUAUCCAGCAAAAGCGUUAGAUACGAGAGGGGUGUAAGGGAUCCCUGCGGCCUCAGUGGCUCUACGAAUCCGAGAUUUAACUGCAAAUACAGACUUGCCAGGCUCAACUGCAUUUUGGCGAUCCACAUCAAUUCCAAACUCUGAAGGGUAGAAUUUCUGAGAAUUUCGCCAUAUCAUGUGUCAGAAUUUGGGGAUGACAGUUGAUAAACUUGCACAAAUCAUACUCCAGUAAAAUUUCAUUCCAAUCUGCAAUCUUUUCGUUGAAUUCACAGAUUGUCAAGAUCACAAUGGUUUCUCACGAUGACUAAAACAUCCUCAAUGAAUUGACCAAUUAAUCUUAGUCGCUUCUCCACUCUGAAAAUGGGAAGUACCAUAUAGAUGAGUCACAUGCAUUAUCAAGUUCUACGAACGACACAUAGAACCCUCAAAUACAUGAAUUUCAUGUGCAUUAUCAAAAUUUAAUAUAUUUCAACAACUAAAACCUUUGAUUAUCAAUAUUGCAGCGCCACAAAAUCUGCAGUGAGCAUUCCUGAGGAAAAUUGUGCUAGAGCUCAUUAGCAGUUACAGCAUACAUGUAGCAGUGUAGUGAAAGCAAUGACAGAAUAAUCCAAGAAAAAAAAUAAAAGUAAUCAAUACAUUCUCCUAUGAGAAUCAUUAGUAACAAGACCACAUAAACAACACACCUUGACAUUUCCAGCUUCUUUAAUUGCGUCAAUGAUCUUCCCCUGAUCAUUCAAUUGACCGAAACCAACAGUUGAUAUGACCACAUCCACCUGCUUUAUGGCUUUCACUAAACUUUCAUGAUCAUACAGGUCACCCUGCUCCAAGGAAGAAUUCCAAUAUCAAGGACAAAAAUAUACAUCACCAGCUAAAAGGGGGAAAAAAUACUAAUAAUAAAGGAAUCCCAAGUGACGAUACUCUCUUGGAAAAAAUUAACGCUGCUUACAUGAACCAGAGUAGCACCGGAGUUCUUGAAGCCUUGAGCAAGUUUUCCCUUGACAGGAUCAGAAACGGUAGAUUCUCUAACCAGAACAAAGGUGGGAUGCCCAGCCUUAAUGCUUGCCUCAACUAUAAACUUGCCAAUGUAUCCCGUUCCACCAAUGACCAAAAUCUUGCUUUUUUCUGCCAUUCUUGAAUAUUCGGAGGUAUCUAAAAAUGAAGGGUUGUGGAGAGUUUUUUAACUGAUGCAGCAGAGCAGGGAAAGAAUGGAGUGUUGGGACGUUGGCACACUGAGGAACUCUAUUUAAACAGUUUGAGGAUUGGUUUGGGAGUUAUUAGAAAAGACCUUUACGUCACUAGAAGCGAAGGAAUCGAUUGAGUUGUAUUUGGUCGAUGAAAACGGUCAGGUACAUCUUCUAGGUGACCAGUGAAAAUAUCUUAUUAGCUAAUCUUAGGAUAAAUGACAUAUAACUCUCUCGUGAUUUUACGUAAUGUCAUAUGAAUUUUUUAAAAUUUUAAAAUAACCACAUAAUUCACCUACAUUUUAUGUAAAAUGAAAAUCCGAUGGAAUAUAUGGACGUUAAUGAAACUAAAUAUCCAUUUAUCGAGAAAAAAAAUAAAUAGGAAUAAAUUUGAUAAGAGUUAAAUUUUUUUUAUAAUAAUAAUAAUAUUUUUAUAAUAAUAAAUUUGAUUAUUUUGCUUUGAGCUCGACUUAUUAAUUUAACACGUGGGAUAUUUUAUAACCAUAUCAUUUCCUUGAUGCUAGAAAUGCGACUUAUAAAGAAAUUCUUUGUCUAAAUUUAUGUCAAAUACGACUUGGAAAUAAAUCCUGAGUCUGAUUUGAAAACAAGCUCGACUUUGUUAACACAUGAUGAAUUGAGCUUAAAUGCGCUCGAACUUGAAAAAACUCAAAUGAAUUCCAAUAUACUAUAGGAAAUUGUGACUCGACAAAUUUAACCAAUUUAAUCAACUUACUAAACAAAAAUAAUUCCACAAAAUAUAAGAAGGUGUCCAAACACUUUUCAUAAAACAAUUUUUAAACAAUCAAGACAAGUUUAAUGCACGUAAUCAUUAAAAAAAAAAAAAGAAGACAUAUUAGCUCCGCUGAAUAUAUAAAUGAUCCUAAAUGAGUUUAAAUCAGCUAUGCACGAGCCGGAUUUAUUAAAUGAGCUUAAUUUUAUGUUUGAACUAGACUUGUUCACUUAAAGGAACCAGUCAAGCUCAAACUAAUAUAAGUUACGUCGAGCUACACUUGAGAAUAGUUUGAGCUCUAUAAUAAUAUUAUGUUCUUCUUUUUUCUUUUUUGUAAUUAAUUAGUUUUUUUUUUUUUGAAAUAUUAGUUUAAAAAGGGCGUGUUUGCGAGGGAAGAGGUGAGUGUUUAUCUGUUAAAAUGUGUAUUUUAGCAUACGUAGAUGGAUUUGUUUUUCUUUUUGUGAGGGAGAGUGAGAAGAGUAUGCGCGUACAUCAGAAACAUUGUGCUAACGGUAGAAGAAGAGCGCACUUCUUUUUUUCUCAUGUAUUUAAUUUUUGUAGUAUAUACCUGGAAACUUCAUUUUUGAAGUAUAGGCAGAAAGGUUUGGUACUGUGGUAUAUAAGAACCUGAUGCGAAAUAAGAACAAAGAAAGAAAAUGGUGUGCUUGAAAAGUAUAAUUCCCAAUGAAUUUAAAGUAACAAUGAUAUAUUAUUGCUCUUUUUUUUUUUUUUUGACGGAAGUUAGAAUUAUAAAUCUAAUCCCAGAAGAAACCUCAAAAGCCGGCAACUUUUGAGGUCCUUCCAGGGACUUAUAAACCCAACCCCAAACCCCCCCCCAAGAACCGAUGUGGGAUGACAACCCCAAAAGGACAAGUCAGUAGGCCCGCUGGUACUAAGAAGUGAUGACCCCCCACGAAACCCAGUAUUGCUCACCGUUACCCUGCUCGACACCUCAACAGUUCCAAGGAUUUGAGAGACUCUUAGCAAUUACAAGUGCUGAUUGGGAAGCUAAAAAGCUCGAAUGCUCGAUUAACCUUUUUUCCCCUCGUUCGAAUGCUCGAUUAACCUGCUCGAAGGCAUAAACACCACAAUCAAAUUAUUAUUUUUAAAAAAUUAAAAUUUUAAAACAUGAUUAAAUAAUUGAGACGCGACAUUACUUUGAAAAGUUUGCAGUAACUCUUGUUUGCACGAUGCCAGAUCCCGAUUUAUGACCUCUAAUAACUAGCCAUGUUGCAACUUGAAUGGAAUGGGCGUCACCAUUCACAUGAAAGUGACUAAGAUAUUAAGCACUGACUUAGCGGAAUAUUGGUUCAAGGAAUUACUGGUUUGUCGUUCUUAGUGUAAUUACACAUGUUUACAUCCUUGUAGCUGUGCUGUCUUGGUUUUCAGCAAGAUAAGAUACUUUCGGCCAUCACCAGGAACUUUCCAUUUAGAUUUUUUUUUUCCAAAAAAAAAAAUGAUUAGGCUUUUUCUUUGGUACACAUCUCAUCUUUCAAAAUUCUAAAAUAUCCCAUUACAACUUAUAAUUCCUUCCACUGAGUGCGCCUAAUUAGCCAUUGAGCCUUUGGUCCGGUGGCUAUUCCAAGCCUUUUUAAGCUUGGCACCACCAAGCCUUUUUAAGCUUGGCAGCGUAGAAAGCUAAGGAUUCAAAUCUUAUUUUUCACAAAAUUUAUCACAAUAUGUGAUAGUCUUCAUUGAUCAAUUUUGAUGAAAUUUUUACUCACAUCGAAUCUCCACCUCCUCCUCCUCCUCCUCCUAGAAUAGGUUAGGUUAUAAAAAAAUUCUAUCGCAUCGACCAAAAAAAAAAAAAAAAAAGAGUGCGGCACAUUACACUACUGCCCCAUCCCCAACGACCGACAGAAUGUUCACAGCAGCAGCCAUUAGAGGCACUAAGAGGAAAGCUAUGUCUUGGCUUGAUGAUUACAAUACAUUCAUAGGGAAUAUGUACAGCGUUAAAAACUCACAAUCCUCAGACCAUGGCACAAAAUCACACACACAUAUAUAUAUACAAGAAAAAAAGAAAAGAAAAGAAAAAGGAUGACAAGCUUAGCAAUAUCCCACUCCUAUUACUGAUCAGUGCCUCGAUUGUUUCAUAUUUGGGCACAGCAUCUCAUGAAAGAUGAUGAUGGACAGCUAAAUAAUAUUCAGCUGAAGGCCAGAGGCGGAGGCCUCAUGCCCCAACUCC